UUCAAUCAUGGUGAAACAAGCGUGGAUUCGAAGGCAUCAAACGCAGGUAAGUGUCGUUUCCUCUUAUUUAUUUAUUUAUUUACAUUCGAUCAAAAAAAGGGUAAACGAGAAGGUCAGAGAGAAACAAGAGACAGGAAUUGCGAAUAAAUCACCUUUUUUCGUCUAUUGCUUUUCUAUUGCGUAUAUUGUCAGUGUUGGUAUUUGUAACCUUUACAACCAUUAAAGAUCCUGGCUUUAUAGCCGAAAAGAAGAAGGAAAAAUAAUAAAAAUAAAUCAAAAGAAUUCGACAUUUGUUCUUUGUUUUUUCUGCUCUAUGCUGCUGUUGCGUUUGUCUUGUUCGCAGGUACGGAGCAAGGCGCGUGUACGGGGGUCGUGUUGGCGCUUGGCAUGGGCGUACAAGGGCUGUUGACGUGGAGGCACGAUUGGCGAUUGGGCUGUACGGUGGCUGAAGGCUGCGGCUCCUCUGCUGCUAGGACUAGGGUUUGGUGAAAUUUGUUUAGCAUUUGGGCUGUUUGGGUUCAUUUCGAGUGUUGGGUUAGUCUUUGGGCAUGGGGUUUUAAUCAUUUGGUCUAGGUAUUGGGCUUGUAACAGGACAUUAAUUAAUGAACUUUGUUUUUGUUUAUUCAUUUUGUAUAUAAAUUUAUAUUUGGGGGUUUUAGCGGGCCCGGGCCAAAAUUGGUCACUACAGCUGCCCCUCUUUGCUCAUUGUCGUGCAACGAGAAUAGAGAAAAGACUAUUAAAAGGCCAAUUUUGCCUGGGUUGGUCGAGUCUUGACUCUUCUUAGUGCUUCUUUUCUUCAAGUAGCUUCGAUAUGCUCCACUGCAACUUCAGGGAGACAAGAUUUGCAACCAUCAGCCUACUCCACUACAACUUUAGGGAGCUAGGAUGGUGGCUUACAUCUGCUUCGCUGCAACUUCAGAAAGCCAAGAUUCGCCCUCUUUGAUCUGCUUCACUGACAAUACAAAGAUACCAAAUCUGCUAUCUUCGAUCUGUUCCCUGCCAAUACAGAGACGCCAAAUCUGCUAUCUUCGAUCUGCUAUCUGUCAACACAGAGAUGCCAAAUCUGCUAUCCUUGAUCUGCUCUCCGCCAAUAUAGAGACGCCAAAUCUGCUAUCAUCUAUCUGCUCCCUGCCAAUACAGAGACGCCAAAUUUGCUAUCUUCGAUCUACUUUUUGUCAACACAGAGAUGCCAAAUCUACCAUCCUUGAUCUGCUCUCCGCCAAUACAGAGACGCCAAAUCUGCUAUCUUCGAUCUGCUUUCUGCCAAUACAGAGAUACCAAAUUUACUAUCUUCGAUCUGCUCUCUGCCAACACAGAGAGGCCAAAUCUGCUAUCUUCGAUCUGCUCCCUGCCAAUACAGAGACGCUAAAUCUGUUAUCUUCGAUCUGCUCUCUGCCAAUACAGAGACACCAAAUCUACUAUCCUCGAUCUGCUCCUUGCCAAUACAGAGACGCCAAAUUUGUUAUCUUCGAUCUGCUCUCCGCCAAUAUAGAGACGCCAAAUCUGCUAUCUUCGAUCUGCCCUCUGACAAUACAGAGACGCCAAAUCUGCAGGAUUCGCCAAUGUCGCUACACUGUCUUCUAAAGACAUGAUGUGUAGAAUGGGUUUCCUGUAUCUGUGCAUGUCAAAUAACUAGGAUGCUAUGAUCGAGAUGAAUCAAAUGUCCCUAAGUAGAUAUGGUGUUUGUUUCAAAAAAUUAGAAUGCUAUGAUCGAAAUGAAUCAAGUGCUCCUAACUAAAUGAAUGAUUAUGGAUGUAGAAAUGUCAUGAGAGUGAUUCCUUUUUAAACGCUUAAGGUGCCAUUGCUCAUAAUUCGUCCGGGUUCUAUCAUUGAUGUGCUAUCGCGUCUUCUUGCUUAGCCGUUAGCUCUGACAGAAAAUUUGAAGAAAUAGUCCUAAUUUGGACUACUCUUUUUCCAAUGUUUUCCAACUUUGAACCUGGUUAGUCCUGACUAGUGGCCCUGUUUCAGGUCCUUGUACUAUUUAGAGACUUUCCAGAGUAAUAUGCAUAACAGCUUUUGUGUAAAUAUUACAUGUUCAAAAAUCGCGAUUUCAACAAAAAUGCUCGAAAGAGAUUGUCAUAAUGGACAAAUGGAAUUUUAUUAAGCAAAAUUUGAUGUGAAUACAUAGGAUAACGAAUCUAAUAAGGUGUAAAAAUGAGAAAAAGGUGCCCCAGAUAUCGCAGCAUGAGUUUCAUUAUUCUAAUUUCUCAAAGGCUCCUUCGAAACAAAUAUGUGUUCAGGAGAUCCCGCGUAUUUUGUUGAUGCUCCAAGGUGUAAUUUUUUUUGCCUUGCUGAUUUCGAGAGGACAAGACUACCAUAUGCCCUAUGUCCAAAACUUGACCUGCCCGUUUUCGGGUUUUCAACUCAAAAGCCCCUUUGGUUCCAAAGUGCCAUUUGCGAGUUUUCAACUUGGCCUCUCCGGCUUUUUUUUUUUAGAUUUUAGAGCGCCCUUUGCGAGUUUUCACUCUGGCCUCUCUUUCUUUAGGUAAAAUACUUCUUGACCGAAUCCGAGUUUACAGGAUUGGGCAAGUUUCUACUGUCCAUCUCGGUUAGAAUCAAUGCUCCUCCGGAGAAAGCUUUCUUCACCACGUAAGGCCCUUCCCAAUUAGGCAUCCAUUUCUCUCAAAAAUCCUUCUGUAUGGGAAGGAUCUUUUUCAAAACCAGGUCUCCUUCGUGGAAUUCUCUAGGGUAAACUUUUUGUCAUAAGCCCGCAUCAUUCGCCUUUGGUACAUCUGACCAUGACGGAUAGCUCUUAGCCUCCUUUCCUCAAUUAGGUUCAAUUGAUCAUAUCAAGACUGGAUCCACUCGGCUUCUUCUAACUUUAACUCCGACAAUACUCAAAGGGACGGGAUCUCGACUUCGAUCGGCAACACCGCUUCCAUUCUAUAAACCAAAGAGAAAGGGGUUGCCCCGGUUGAGGUUCUGACUGACAUUCGAUAAGCAAAGAAGGCAAAUAGUAACUUCUCAUGCCAAUCUUUGUAGGUCUUAGUUGAGUUGUGAUGUUUGAUCUUAAAUUGACUGCAGACUUCCGCUAUCGUGCUGUUGUUCAGGUUUAAUGCAUUGUCAGAUAUGAUCCUCUCCGGUAUUCCAUAUCGACAUAUGAUCUCUUUUUUCAAGAACCUGCUCACUGCUGACUUUGUAACACUAGUGUAGUGACGUAAAAAUUUUAGCUUAGCUUGGUCGCUAAUUGUGGCGAUUUAUUGAAAAUAAGUUUGAAAUUUGACGUUUGAUUUUUGAAAUAAACAGGGAGUCGCCACCGAUCCUUUUUCCUAGGUGUGGUCGGACACCUAUUAGAUCUCUUAUUAAAAUAAAUAAAAGGCUGAGUUUAGGUCUACGUUAAAAUUUAGAGAAAAUUUAGGGUUCGGGAGUCGGUUACGCGCGAGGAAGGUAUUAGCACCCUCGCGACGCCUAAAUUCUGUAUCUUAUAAACAAGUGUUGUCUUGAUUUUCAAAAAUACAAGUUCAAUAUAAGAUUAAAUCGUGAUCCAUUUGAAAAGACAAGAAUUUUCAAUCUUUUUGAUUUUUUUAGAAGGAUAUACCGUUUUAACACAAGUCGAUUGAUAUUCACCAAGCAUAACGAUGAAAUUGACGACUUAGUGUUAAACCGAUAUGUUGCCUUAUGCCUCGAAAUUAAUCGGAAAACAAGAAUAAGAUUUUCGAAAUAAUGCAAAGCAAAUUGAUAUGAAAUAGAAAUAAAUAAAAGUGCCAGGCAUAUAUUAAAGCAAAUAAUAAAUAGGAUAAUAAUAUUAAAAACAAUAAUCACGCAUGCGAUAUUAAACGUAAAUAAUGAUAAUAUUAAACAUAAACAGGUAAAUUUUUUUAUUUAUAUUUUUAUAUAUUUUAAAGUAUAUAGGUGAGAAAAUAAGCUUAAAAAAUGAAAAUAAAGUAGAAAAAAAGGAAAAUCACCUUCGUUCUUUGAUUUCGAUUUUUGUUCUCUGUUUCUCUGAUUUUGUGUUUGAUUUGGUGAUUAUUGUCUUCAAUAUUGAUGGAAUCGCUAUCUUUUUGCUUAAAAAACGAAUGCUUUUCUUUGUAUUAUUUUAGAGUUGCCGAAAAUAGGAGAAGAAGAAAAAAAAGAGCCUUUACAUUUGAUUUCAUGGCUCUUAUAGCCUUACAAUUUUAUUUUUUAUUACUUUUUGUCUCUUCAUUGCUGCUUGCAGGGUAUGGAGGUGCCAGGCAUGCGGGGAUGGUGGUGGCAGAAGCAUGGGCGAUGGCUAGGUAUGGGGGUGACCAGGGAUGGUGCUGGUGUCAGAGGAGUGGAGGAGAGCGGCUGAAAACUUUGGUGACUAGGGUUUGCUGUUGAAAAUUUUUUUAGAUAGUGGGCUUGGGUUGUUAGGGUUUGUAAAUUGGGUUUGGGUAUUGUAUUAUUGGGCUGAUCUGGUUUGUAAAAUGAACAUUUAUAUGGGUUAUUUGGAUAUUAUUUUCUGCUUGUUUACUUGGGCCAAAAAUUGGCCAUUACAGCUGCCCCUCUUUACUCAUUGUCGUGUAACAAGAAUGGAGUAAAGACAUAAAGAAAGGCCAAUUUUUGCCCCGUCUUGCCGAGUCUUGACUUCGUUGGUGUUCUUCUUGUUCAGGUAGUCUCUUUCCAGUCCACCGCAUCUUGUAGCUUUGGUUCAAUCCACUACAUCUUCUGACAUAUGCCUUGUAGCUUCAAUCUACUUCAAAGUAACUUUGAGGAUAUGAAAUUUUUGGCUUCGAUCUGCUUCACUGCAACUUCAGGAAGAUAAGAUCUACAACUUCAAUCUGCUCUUCUAUUGCUUCAGCGAGAUAAGGUUUAUGGUCUUCUCUUCUGUCACUUCAGAAAGGUAAGAUUUGAUAUUCUCGAUCAGCUUCACUGCAACUUCAGGGAGAAAAGAACUGGUGUCUUCAAUCAGCUCCAAUCUUCAUUCUUUACUCGGCAUGUGAUCCUGAGCUCAACUCAUUUCUCACAAUAUGAAUUGACUACUUAAAACUUGACAUGUGAACCCACGGCUCAACUCACCUCUCGCAAUAUGAGUUGAUCUUUGAAAAAUAUAAAUUGAGAAAACAUAAAUUAAAAAUACCUCAGCAUGUGAGCCAAGGCUCAACUCACCUCUCGCAAUAUGAGUUGAUUUUUAAAAAAAAAAAACGGAAAUUGAAAAACAGAAAUUGAAAGUAGCUCAUUACAUGAGCCAAGGCUCAACUCACUUCUCGCAAUAUCAGUUGGUUUUUGAAAAAUAAUUUGAAAAACAGAUUUUGAAAAUACCUCGACAUGUGACUCGAGGCUCAACUCACCUCUCACAAUAUGAGUUGGUUUUUUUUUGACAAACAGAAAUUGAAAAUACCUCAGCGUGCCCUGAGGCUCAACUCACCUCUCACAAUAUGAGUUGGUUUUUUUGACAAACAGAAAUUGAAAAUACCUCAGCGUGCCUUGAGGCUCAAGUCACCUCUCGCAAUAUGAGUUGAUUUUGACAAACAGAAACAGAAAUUGAAAAUACCUCAACACGUGAGCCGAGGCUCAACUCACUUCUUGCAAUAUGAGUUGAUUUUUUUGACAAUAGAAAUUGCAUCGCAAUAUGAGUUGAUUCUUUUGAAAAGCAGAAAUUGAAAAUACCUCAGCGUGCCCUGAGGCCUAACUCACCUCCCGCCAUAUGAGUUGAUUUUUGACAAACAGCAAUUGAAAAUACCUCAACGUGCCCCGAGGCUCAACUCACCUCCCGCAAUAUGAGUUGAUUUAAAAAACAGACAUAAAAACAGAAAUUGAAAGUGACUCAACACGUGAGCCAAGGCUCAACUCACCUAUCGCAAUAUGAGUUGAUUUUUUUCAAAGUAGAAUUUGAAAAUACCUCGGCGUGCCCCAAGGCUCAACUCACCUCCCGCAACAUGAGUUGAUUUUUGACAAUCAGCAAUUGAAAAUACCUUAGCGUGCCCCGAGGCUCAACUCACCUCCCGCAAUAUGAGUUGAUUUAAAAAACAGACAUAAAAACAGAAAUUGAAAGUGACUCAACACGUGAGCCAAGGUUCAACUCACUUCUUGCAAUAUGAGUUGAUUUUUUUGAAAGUAGAAUUUAAAAAUACCUCGGCGUGCUCCGAGGCUCAACUCACCUCCCGCAACAUGAGUUAAUUUUUGACAAACAGCAAUUGAAAAUACCUCAGCGUGCUCCGAGGCUCAACUCACCUCCCGCAAUAUGAGUUGAUUUAAAAAAAUAGACAUAAAAACAGAAAUUGAAAGUGACUCAACACGUGACCAAGGCUCAACUCACCUCUCGCAAUAUGAGUUUAUUUUUUUGAAAACAGAAAUGAAACAUCCACAUACCAAAAGAUGUCAUCUAGUGGAGCUCAUGUGUCUUUUCCUUGAUUCAGUAUAACUAACAUUGCAUCCUCUUGCUCCGCUGGAAUACCUGUAUAUGUCAUUCAUGAUGUUUUCAUGAUAUGCACAUGUUUUGCUUAAAUGCCUUUAUGCUUAUAUGAUUAUGCUAUGAGCUUUAGGCAUGUUUGUCAUAUAUCCCUUUUUCGUCACGAUUUUUGAUGAUCCGCGUUCAUUGCUUCGACUCAUGACUUUCUCUUCAAUACCCGUACCCGUCCUCCAGCUUCACGAAUAUUCUGUGUUUCUCAGAUAUCACUUUUUUGCCCCUAGUUGAGCUUUGUCCUUGCGUUGAGGCUCUUGUACUUAUCAAAUUCUUACCCGGGUAAUGCUUAACAUUUCUUUUGUUUAGAGUAUGUCAUUUUACUAUUUAUCAUGUAAAUGAACCACAUAAUGAGAUGUAUGAAAAUGGUCAGGUAGGGACAAAAGGAUACCUCACAUUUAUUCAUUUCAAAUGUAGCAAACAAAGAAAGUUAACAAAUGAUAGUAAAAGAGUGUCAUAAAGAGAAAAGGGAUUGCAUUCAACGAAUACAAAUGCUGUAGAUAUUCAAUGCAUGAACUCUUCCACGUUCCUCAAUCAAGAAUCUUUUCGAGCAUGGCUUCUUGCGUAAAAGAUUUUAAGCUUUCAGAAAUGCUUCAAAUACGGUAGUCUCACUAUUCGACCCACCGUUCAAAAUGCCUUGCUUUUAAGCCAGUGCUUGCUUCAUUAGAACGCCCUUUCGGGUUUUUAUCCUAAUCUUUUGUGUUAAUCAAGACGCCCUUUUCGGGUUUUCACCUUGAUCACCCUUUUUUUUAGGGAUAAUAUUUCUUCACAGCAUCUGAGUUCACUGAUUCAGUAACUCCUUCCCAUCCAUCUCGGUGAGAAUCAAAGCUCCACCUGAGAAUGCCUUCUUUACGACGUAUGGUCCUUUCCAAUUUGGUGCCCAUUUUCCUCGUAGGUCUCUUUGUAUUGGGAGAAUCUUUCUCAGCACGAGUUCUCCUUCGUGGAAUUCUCUUGGCCGUACCUUCUUAUCUGUCCAUGGCAAAUUGCCUUUAGACGUUUUUCUUUGAUGAGGUUUAACUGGUCAUAUCGAGCUCGAACCCAUUCUGCUUCCUCUAAUUUUGACUCCAUUAAGACUCGUAGAGAGAUGAUCUCCACUUCGAUAGGUAGCACAGCUUCCAUUCCAUAGAUCAGAGAGAAAUGAGUUGCCCCCGUAAAUGUCCGUACAGAUGUGCGAUAUGCAUACAAAGCAAAUGGCAGCUUCUCGUGCCAGUCUUUAUAUGUCUCGGUCAUUUUCCCAAUAAUCUUCUUAAUAUUCUUGUUGGCUGCUUGAACGGCUCCGUUCAUCUUUGGGCGAUAGGGCGAGGAGUUAUGAUGCUUUAUUUGGAAUUGCUCACACACUUAUUUCAUCAUCUUGUUGUUCAAAUUCAAGCCGUUAUCUGAAAUGAUUCUUUCAGGCAAAUCAUAUCGAUAAAUGAUUUCCCUUUUCAAAAACCUACAAACUGUAGUCUUCGUCACAUUGGCAAACGAUGCGGCUUCUAUCAGUUUUGUGAAGUAAUCAAUAACCACAAAAAUGAAUCGCUGUCCAUUAGAAGCUUUUGGGGAAAUUGGCCCUAUAACAUCCAUGCCCCACAUAGAAAAAGGCCACGGAGAAGUCAUGACGUGAAGGGGCAAAGGGGCUACAUGAAUUUUCUCACCAUAAAUUUGACAUUUGUGGCAUUUUCGUGCAAAAUUAAUGCAGUCGCUUUCCAUCGUCAGCCAGUAAUAUCCAAGUCUCAGAAUCUUCCUGGCCAUAGUGAAACAUUAGCAUGUGUCCCGCAAAUUCCCUCAUGGACAUCUUUAAGUAUUUUUCUAGCUUCAACAACAUCUACGCAUCUCAAGAGCACCUAAUCUUUUCCUCUUUUGUACAGGAUGUCCUCAUCAAGAACGAACCCCGCUGGCAUUCUUCUGAUUGUUCUUUUGUCGUUCUCGUUUGCUUGUUCGGGAUACUUUUGAUUCUUGAUAUAUUCUAAGACAUCAUGGAACCAUGGCCGUCCAUCUGGCUCUUUUUCAAUGCUGAAACAAUGUGCAGGGACUUCAUAUAUGCUCAUUUGAAGAGGCAUUAUUUCUGUUUCUCUGUUUGCUUUGAACAUUGAAGCCAAAGUGGCCAGGGCAUCAGCCAAUUGGUUUUCUUCUCGUGGUAGGUAAUUAAAAGUUAUUUCUUCAAAUUUUUUAAUCAACUCUGCCACUAUAUCACUGUAUUUAACCAGUUUCGAAUCUCUCACUUCCUAAUCUCCACGAAUCUAGUAAAUCACCAAGGCUGAGUCUCCGUAUACCUCUAAAGUUUUGACGUUUCGUUUAAUAGCUGCACGAAGUCCCAUGAUACAUGCCUCAUAUUCCGCUAUGUUAUUAGUACAGAAGAAGUUCAGCCUGGCAGUGAGUCGGUAAUGGCUCCUUUCUGGCGAUACUAAGACUGCUCCAAUCUCAUGCCCCAAUGCGUUCGAUGCACCAUCAAAGCUCAUCUUCCAUGACUUCUUUUUUGAUGACUCGCCCUCUUUUUCUGUAAUUCACAUCAAAUCUUCAUCCGGGAAAUCAAAUCUCAAUGGCUCAUAUUCAUCCAUUGUUCGGGCUGCUAAGAAGUCAGCUAUUGUGCUUCCUUUUAUUGACUUUUGACUCACAUAGACGAUGUCGUACUCCGAUAGUAAGAUCUGCCACCGUGCCAUUCUUCCUGAGAGUGCAAGUGAUUCCAUCAUGUACUUUAUUGGAUUUAGCUUUGAAAUUAACCAUGUCGUAUGAUACAACAUGUAUUGCCUGAGUCUCCGAGCUGCCCAAACCAGAGCGCAACAGUAUUUUUCAAUGGAUGAAUACUUUGCCUCAUAUUCAGUGAACUUUUUACUGAGGUAGUAGAUCACCUUUUCUUUCUUUCCUGACUCGUCAUGUUGCCCCAGUACGCAACCCAUUGAAUUUUCGAACACAGUCAAAUACAAUAUCAAUGGUCCUCCAGGAGUUGGCGGUACUAGCACUAGAGGACUAGACAAAUAUUGUUUUAUCUUAUCAAAGACCACUGGCAUUCCUCAUUCCAUUCUCCCGGGUUAUUUUUUCGAAGAAGCCGAAAGAUUGGGUCGCAUUGGUUGGUAAGUUGAGCGAUGAAUCGGGUGAUGUAGUUUAACCUCCCUAAAAAUCCUCUGACUUCCUUUUGCGUGCGCGGAGGUGGUAACUCUUGAAUGGCUUUUAUUUUACUUGGAUCAACCUCGAUACCUCUUUCACUGACAAUGAAGCCCAGUAAUUUUCCCGAGGUAGCCCCAAACGUACAUUUGGCCGGAUUGAGCUUUAGCUGGAACUUUCUCAGUCUAUCGAACAACUUCUUCAGGUUCACUACAUGCUCUUCUUCCCCUCGAGAUUUAGCAAUCAUAUCGUCGACGUAGACCUCUAUUUCUUUAUGCAUCAUGUCAUGGAAUAACGUCACCAUAGCCCUCUGAUAUGUUGCCCCAGCAUUCUUUAGCCCAAAUGGCAUCACCUUGUAGCAGAAUGUUCCCCACAUUGUUAUGAAGGUAGUUUUCUCCAUAUCCUCAGGGGCCAUCUUGAUUUGAUUAUACCCCGAGAAUCCGUCCAUGAAAGAAAAAAAUGAAUGUUUUGCUGUGUUAUCCACCAACGUAUCAAUGUGUGGUAAGGGAAAAUUAUCUUUAGGACUUGCUCGAUUCAGGUCACGAUAAUCUACGCAUAUUCGUACUUUACCAUCUUUCUUUGGUACCGGGACUAUGUUAGCCACCCAUUCUGGAUAUUUGGAGGCUUGUAGGAAGCCAGCAUCAAAUUUCUUCUUGACUUCCUAUUUUAUCUUCAACAACAUCUCAGGCCUCAUCCGUCUUAGCUUUUGUUGAAUGGGAUUGCAUUCUGGCUUUAAUGGGAGCUUAUGGACCGCUACCUCUUCAUUCAAUCCUGGCAUGUCCUGAUAUGACCAUGCGAAUACAUCUUUGUUCUCGUAGAGCAAAGCAAUCAAAUUAUGCCUGGUGCCCCCUGAAAUAGAAGUCCCAAUCUUCACUUCUUGCUUCCUUUCUUCAGUUCCCAGAUUUAUUGUUUCAACAAAUUCUUGACUAGGCAAAAUUUGUUUAUCCUCUUGUUCCACUAUUCUUAGCAAGUCAGGAGAUGAGAUAUAGUCUUUUUCUUCGGUUUCGAAUUCUCCUAAACAAACAGCCUUCUCAAAAUUGAUUUCAGGACUCGUAACGGGUUUGUUCAUGCAAUUGAUAUCUGAGCACAUAAAAAUUGAAUGGAAAAGGAAACUAUAGAGGGGCAUCUAAGUAUUGAAACCAACAAACUAAAUGUUAUGGUAUGGCAUGAGGCAAUUGUAAAGAUAGGCUAUGAAAUGAUUAUGGAAUUAGUGAUAACGCGAAAAAAUCAUGACAAAAUGCAUCUUCAUUGUUAUUCAUUUAAAUGAUAAAGAGCGAAUGCAAGCUCUUACAAAAGAAUUCUGUUAUAUCUAAGGACAUAGAAGCAUGUUAACGUUUGAGCAUUACUUUGAAGACUUAUAAACUACAAGAAGAUCCUCGGCAGUCCAAUUGUUCAACAUGAAACCCGGGGGACAAGGGCGUAUCUUUGAGACGUCUUUACUCGCGUCAGCUCCUUUGUCAAUGACAUUUAUACUGAUAUUCUGAAAACCCUCUUCGAUCAUUAACAUUGUGCUUUGUGUACUAUACUCCCCUGGGUUUAUCAUUCCCACAGACGUAAAUAUUCUUGACAAAUGAGGGAAUUCCAUGGGCUCCCAUUCUGGUUUUCGGCCUAGUGUUCUCGCGAUCCUUCUUUCCUGAUCUUUCUUCCACUACUUUCUUUUUUGAUGCAUGUCUGGCUGGAACCCUAAACCGUAUCGGGCUUUGUGGUGUACUGGCUUUAGAGCCCUGACUAUUCCUUGCAGGUACCUUCCCAAACCUUUCCUUGCUCAUGCUCCCUUUCCUACAGUCAACUUGACACCCAUCUUGGUAUUUCUCGACAGUUUUGGCUCGGGAAUUCUGUUUCCCUCAGCGACGAAUGUGACAUUGACAAAUUCAAGAGAUUGGAAGGAACAUUCCAUAGCAUCUUUACUCAUUUCAAUAUAUGGUGCGUCGGCAGAAAUAGAUACUACAAUGUCUUCUUCUCCCUCGACAGUGACCAAACAGCCAUCCAUGAUAAAUUUCACCUUUUGAUGGAGGGAUGAUGGGACUGCUCCAGCAGAACGGAUCCAAGGUCUUCCCAAGAAACAAUUGUAUGAUGGUGUAAUGUCCAUGACUUGAAACUUAACACCGUAUAUGUAGGGAUCCACUUCUAGAGGGAUCUCGAUUUUUCCCAUAACUUCUCGUCUUAUUCCAUCAAAUGCCCUUACUGUAGAAUGGCAGGGCCUUAGAUAGGACAAAUCCAUCGGAAUCUUGGAAAGUGUGGCCAAAGACAUGACAUUGAGUGUCGAUCCAUUGUCGAUGAGGACGUUCGGUAUUAUAUAGCCCUUACAACGGGUUGUGAUUGCAAUGCUUUCACUGAGCCUCUACCAUUGGGCGGUAUUUCAUUAUCACUAAAAGAAAUGAAAUUAUCCGCAUUCAAGUUGUUUGCCACAUAAGCUUGAUUUAACACUUUCAGCAAAGCGUUCCAGUGUGGUUCUGAAUUCAACAGCAGAGAUAAUACCGAGAUUCGAGCUGGCUACUUACUCAAUUGUUCUACCACGUUGUACUCACUAUUCUUGAUAAAUUUUAAGAAUUCCUGUGCUUCCUCCUCGUCCACAGGCUUUUUAGCUUCUUGUUCAGGCACAGUUUCAUGCUUAUCUUCGGUCAUGUGCAUCGGUGUUUUUCCUUUCUGUUUCAAGUCACUAUUUUUCUUUAUCUCCUUCGAAUAACAUCUUUCACUACGAGUGAAAUGACCUACUUCCCCGAUGCUUCCAGUCAUGGCUUUGGGUUUUUCAUUUUCAGGUGUGGCGAUAUUAACAUCAUAUUUCCAUGGUACUGCUUUAUUAUCCUUGUAAGGGAUAGGAGACGGUACUUCAAUUAUCAUUUUUGGUUUCACCGGUUCCUUCCUUGCAUCGUAAUAAAUUACGAAUGGUCGAUCGGCACUAUACAGACAACCUGACGAUUGAUUGUCAGAGGGACAUACUUCUUUCUCAUUGGCCUCUCAUUCAUUAAUGAUCUCAAUCUCCUUAUUAUCUAUCUGGUCUUGCAGUAACCUUUUAAAUUCCUCACAUGAUUGAAUGCCGUACCCUACAAUUCCAUGAAAAUCACAAAAAACCUGACAUUCUUUUCUGAGAUUAUCGUCGGGGCGACAGAGCAAUCCAUUCUUAAACAGUGCCUCCUAGAUUUUCUGCAGAGGCGUCCUUAUUUCUGAAACACAUCUUCUAACUUGCCAUUCAUCUUCUUUCCUCACUGUGCUCAUAUUCCCUUCAGUAUGGUUAGGGAACGGGUUCCUAGUUGCAUUACUGGCACUAUCGAAUCGUAGUAUACCCGCAUCAAUUAGUCCUUCAACUCUCCUCUUAAAGGCUAGGCAAUUUUUCAUGGAAUGUCCCUGGUUUCUCGCAUGGUAUGUCCAACUAGCGUUUGGGUCGUACCAUUUCGGGUAUGGGGGCCUCAAGGGUGCCAUAUAAUGCGGGGAUAUCAAUUGCUUCUCCAAAAGUUUUGGGUAUAGUUCCACAUAUGACACAGAAAUAGGGGUAAAUUGUGGUAUCUCGGAAUUGGGUUUUGCUAGCCUCUACUCGUUUUUGGGUUGACCUUGAGCGGGUAUUGUAUUUUGUGGGAAUGUAGUGGUUGAUCUCGAGUUACUUGUGGCGUAAAUAGGGUAAGAAGAGUAAGGAGGCGGUGUUUAGUAGUAAGGGGUUUGAGGAGGAUAAUAAAAAUUCGGAGGUGGAUAAUUUCGAGGUCGGGGUUGGUUUGGAUACGGAUUAGGGGUAUAACGUCUUCCUAUUCCCACCAUGUGGUCUUCUAGUUCUUUCUUCUUCAUGGGCGCUAUCCUUCUUGAACUUUCUUGACCUUCCAUUCUAUCGCUCUUGACAACGUUCUCUAUAAGCUCACCGGAUAUUACAAUAUCCGUGAAGACCUUCAUGGCGCUUCCUACUAGUUUGUCAUAAAACGGCGUCUUUAAGGUGUUGAUAAAAAGGACGGUUAUCUCCGUUUUUGUCAGUGGGGGUUCCAUUUGGGCUGAGACGUCCCUCCAUCUCUGCGCAUACUGUCUAAAAGUUUCUGACAGCUUUUUCUCCAUCAUUUGUAAAGUCAUCCGAUCAGGCACCAUAUCUGAUACAUGCUUGUACUGCUCACAGAACGCCGACGCCAAGUCUUUCCAAGAUCGGAUCCUUUCCUUACUGAGCUGGUUGUACCACCGAAGAGCCGAUCCUACUAGACUAUCUUGGAAACAAUGUAUAAGUUGCUUAUCUUCGUUCACGUAACUGAUCAUUUUUCGGCAAAACAUGACAAGAUGUGCUUUUGGACAUCUUGUCCCAUCGUACUUUUCGAAAUCAGGCACCUUGAACUUCGGAGGCAGGAUUAGGUCAGGUACCAAACUGAGUUCUUUAGCACCUAGUGUAGAGAAGACUUCAGUACCUUCUAUUGCCUUAAGUCUUUCCUCCAAGCUCCUAUACCUCUCUUGAGCCUCGUGAUCAUCUAUUUUCAACUUGGCUAUUUCGGUCGGAUCAUCUAAAUCUGAAACUACAGGAUUGGCAGGGGUUGCUCCGGGAUUUGACAUAAAUGUUCCUUGCCCUAGAUGAGCAAAUGGCAUAGGUCGUUGUUCCAAGCCUGUGGACUCCCCUUGAGUAUACCCUCUUUGUGCUACAUGGGCAUGCGGUGGAGUGAAUCCUGGGGGAUAGAGUGGAUCCUGGUCAUGAUUAAUUCUUGAUUGAGGUUCCAAACUGUCGGGGUUCUGCAUGGGUCCUUUUCCUUUGACCAAAACCGACAUCAUCUCCAUCAUUCUAGCCAUUUGAUCCUUCUGUUCAAGUGAUUCCUCUCGAGAUCUUACUAUCAAAUCCCUCGUUUCUUGCUGUGACUUAGCCAGUUGUUCUUGUAAUUCCUUUUAGACUCUUUCCAUUCUUUCGAUUCUUUUAUUGAACUCAACCUCCAUUGCUCUAGCUUGUCGACACGUUUUAUACGAAUGGCGCGGUUCCAGAUUUGAAGUGUUGCAACUGCGAAUUAUAUGAUUCUAACCUUAGCGAAUUAUUAUGGGAUAUGUAUAUGCAAUGAAUGAAUGAAUAAAAGUUGAAUGAAUGUCAGUCAUGAAAGAAAUGCGAGAAAUUGGUGUAGAUCUCGAGAUAGUCCCUAUUAGGUAUUUCAUUCAUCAAAAGAGUUCAUUACAAAACAUUUCGCUAUUUUUUGAUUUGGCCAUUACACAAACUUCCUAGCUAUAUUGCUAUAUUUCUUUACUCGCUCCAAGAACUCCGAUAUGCUCGAUUGUUGGCUCGGCGAGAAUUGGCAAAUGAGAUCCUCUGCUUCAUCUGAUAGUUGUACCAUGUGCACAGCCACUUCACGGAUUUUGUUGAUCAAAAAGCCAAGUUGCAUUUCUCUUUCUUGGAGGUCCGUUUUAUAAGCAUGAGUGUCUCUAUCAUAUUGAUCAUUCUUUUCUUCCAAGGUUUUUAAGAGAGUAUCCAAUUGUUGCUGACGAGCUCGCAACGAGUCUUCUAGAUCCUGUACUAUUUCUCUUAAGCUUUGACGUUCGGAUUGACUGGUUGUCCAUUUGGUAGACAUAGCUUUGUGUUCAGUGCUUUUCUUUCUCAAUUCUAUCAUAACCCGCGCAGCCUUUUCCUCUUCCUUCUCUGCCCUCUUUUUCCAAAAUUCCAUCCUGCCUUUAGCAUUGUUUAAUUCUUCUCUCCACUCUGUUGACGACUUACCCAACCCACUGUUCUUGAUAGUGACUCUUAACUUUUUAUUUUCUAGAUGAAGGUCCCUUAAGUCAUUUCUUACGACUUCAACUUCUUUUUGUACUUUCUCAAUUUUAGACCUUUCGAUCUGGACGCCGAUCUUCAACUGGUAGUUUUCUUCUUGAAGAAUACUAAUGUCUCGCAACAUUUUGACCUUUUCACGCUCAAAUUCCUAUCUUGCUAUUUCUAGCUCUGAUGGCACUUCUGUCGAGAAAGGAUUCUGGACGGCGUAAUUUGUUGACGAGAUUUGCUGGCUGUUCACCCGUUACUUUCUCCAUAUGUCGUAAUCUUGGGUGAGGGUAUCGGCAUAUAGAGCUAAUUCCAUAUGAUGAAUUCUUUUCUAAGACUUUGCAGUAUCUCGGACUCUCUUCAUAUAUCCUUCACCCGCGAAAGUAAACUCUGAUUGUGCUAAUCCUCCGGUGCCGGGUAUGAAUUGUCGUGAAGAAAAUUGUCUCUGUACCAUUAACGGAGCAUAUCCAACUCCUCUCCAUAACCCGAGUAGUGACACCCAAUCUUGAACUCCGACCUUGUAUAGCAGAACUGACGGGCGUAUCCACGGUGCUCUAAAAAUUACGUCUUCGGCACGAAGAUUCUGAAAGACUGAGACCCAGUGUUGUUCGGUGACCUCCUUUGGCCAUUCUUUCUUGAGAUAAGCUUCUAACGGGGAGAAUGUUUUAGAAAACAUACGGAACGAUGUGCGCUCUACUUUCCAGAAGUGGUUCAGAAUCCAAACAUUGAGUAAUUGUAAGUGUAGGGAUGGCGUGGGUGAUUUAUUCCCCACAGGAAGUGUAGGGAUGGAUAGAGGCAAGUGCAGGGUUGGAUGGGGUUAUCAUGCAUUAAUCAUAUGAGACUGUUUUAUUAUGGGCCAACUGUAUUAAAAUGGGCCCAACUGUGUUAAUAUGGGCAAGACCCAAUAUAUCUCGACUUGUAAUAGGGCUACGGCCCAGACUGAUACUGAUAUGGGCUAGGCCCAGUAUGCUCUGAUAUUGUAAUAGGGCUAUGGCCCAGAUUAAUAAUGAUAUGGGCUAAGACCCAAUUAACACUGAUUUCUAAAUAGGGCUUAGGCCCAGUAAAGCUUGAACUGAUUUGGGCUCUGGUUGGGAUACUUUACACACUGAGUUUUCCAAACUCACCCCCCUUUUUCCCAUCUUUCUAGGUGAACCUUAGAUCGAUGGACUUGGAGCUGGGCGGGAUUCAGAGUGGCCACGAAGAUUAAGUUUUGUUUUCUUUAAAAUAAGUUUUGCGUUUAUUAUUUUGAUUAGUUUUUAUUCUGGUUAAAGUUGUAAUAAGGCCGCUCUUUUUAUUAUUUUUAAUAUUUUGGGUUAUUAAAUUGGUUAGCUCUAGGGCGCGUUUUAUAAAAGUUACUUAUUUUUAAAAUAUCACGAUAACCGAGCAAAGCUUCCGCAACGUAAAUGUUUUCAAAGGAAAUAAAUAUUUUAAUUAGACUUAAACUUAAUUUCUUGUUCGUGGACAAGUAAUAAGCUUAAAGUGUGGCAAUGGAUGUAUGCAUGUCUAGGAUUGGAUCAUGGAAGAGCUAGGUACUUAGGCAGUCUAAUUGACUCACCUCCUUUUUUCUUGAAUCCUACCUGGUGCGUAGUAUCCAUUCACUUUAAGCCAUGACAAAGAAGGUUUGAUUUUUUUCGAUACUUAACAGUUUUUUUAAAAUAACAUGUUUCUACCACUACAAAGGUUUACAAGUUUUCAAAGUUUCCCAUAAGAUUUUUCAAGGUUGUUAACAAUGCUUUGAUUAUUACAAUGAAUCACAUUUUGGAAAAAAAAUAAGGCUAAGGUUUUAUUCAAGUUUAAACGGUAAAAGUUUCUAAACAUCAAGAAGGGUUUUCAAUGAAAACAUGAUUUUCGAAAAACACUUCAAUGUGACACGCCGGAUUCGGUCGUAACGUCUGAGCCGGGUUUGGGGUGUUACAUUUAGUGGUAUCAGAGCCCGGUUGCAACAACUCGACUGUGGACCAGGUCCAAAAAGGUUUUCAAAACUUUAAGCCCAAAGAGGGUAUUUUUGGAAAAAAAUCUGACUUUUGAAAACGGAUUUUCUGGUUAAAGGAGAUAAAUUUUCAAACUUGGUUUCUUUAAAUCAAAUGUUUGAGAAAUGGAUUUUAAAGGCCUAAAUCUUUUGCGUUUGUCUGAAAUCUGAUAAGGUGGUACACUGAAUCCCCGGCACCAAGUCUGUAAGUAUCCCUGUCACUCAUACUACACUGUACUAAGAUAUUACUGUAGAUAGAACUGAGACCAGAUCAUGACAUUAUAGCUAGGAUAAUAUUAAAAACCCUAGAAUAUAUGAGACUAUAGCUAGGCUAUGAAAAUAGAAACUUUAGAAUACUAUCUCUGCAUAACACGUAUAAAUAAGUAUUAUUUUUGAAUCAAGAUCUUGGUAGUUAUUGUUAUGCAUGCUGAUAAUGUAGAGUGUUGAUAUGGAUACUGAGGAUAAGCAAAGUCUGCCAACUUUGGGUAGCGGUAACUUGGAGAUUGGGACUGAGGCACUAGCCGAGUUAGUAAGGAAAGUGGUAGAAGAAGUAUUAGAGACCAAGGUUAAGGAAAUUAGGGAAAUGUUUCAAGCGGGGUGCUUGGAGUGUAAGAAGAGGAAGGAUUCUAGUUCUCAGAAGACCGAGCUUCGUUCUGUGAAACAUGUUAAGAAACGACCAAACUUUCCAGCCUGCAAGAAUUGCAACGGGCGUCAUACGGGUGAAUGCCUUAGGAAGACAGGAGCAUGCUUUAGAUGUGGGUCCAAGGAGCAUCGAGCUCGGGAUUGCCAAGUUUAUCCUAUUUAAGUGUGUGUUACGAAUUGAAUGCGUGCUUGAUAGAUGUUUCUUUACUUUGGUAACUAGAUGUUCGGGGUCGUACUAAGAAUUAUUUUUUUAGAGUGCGCAGCAGAAGCAUAGUGGGUUGACUAGAGUUAUACGGUUUAAGGGGAGUAGAAUUGUAACACCCCGAUUUUUGGGGCCUAAAAGAGUUGGGCUUUGAGUCUGGGAUUCGGAUAGAAGGAAACCUGAAUAAUUAGGAAGUUUUAAAUAUUACCGUUUAAGAAAAAAAAAUUUUGAAUUACUACUAGAAAAUUUUUACUCUAUUUAUUAUUACGGAUAUUUUAAAUUUUUACGAAAUUUUAAUUAGUAUUAUGAGAUAAAAUUAUUAUUAUUAGAAAAAUAUUACUGCAUGUAUGUUUGAAAAUUUUUUAUGAAAAUUAUUAUUAUUAUUUACUGUAUUAUUGAUAUUUAAAAUUUUUAUUAUUAGAUAUAUUUAUAAUAAUAUUAUUAUUAGAUAGGAAAAAAAAUAUAAAAUAUAUAUAUUUAUAAAAGUAUUGUUGUUUUGGUGUUUAAGACUCUAGAAAAAUUUUAAUUUUAUGCUACCUUAGGGAAUCUGGGCAGUAGGCCUUAUUAAUAAUUUGGGUUGAGUUUUAGCAUAAAGGAGCACUUGGCCUAGUGGCUAAGCAUGCUAGGUAGUGGGAAGGAGAGUUGGGGUUCGACUCCCAACAUGUGCAAAAAAGAGUUUUGUUUUUUCUUUAUAUCAGGGAACGACGCAGGGAAGUGUUAUAUAAAGUUGGGGUUAAAACGUAACACAAAAGGGAAGCUCGGCCCAGUGGCAGAGGCGCUGGGAGUGUGGUAUAGUGCCUAGGUUUGAGGGUUGGCACACGCAAAGGCUUGUUUUUAUUUUAAUAAGCCAGAUCGCACUAAAGUAAGGUUUAAGAAUAAUUGCGACCGAGCUAUGUCACAAGAAGCGCUUGUGGCUCAGUUGCUGUAGCGUGCUGGGCAUAUAGAGAGGGCGCAGGUUUGAGUCUGUAUGCAGGCGAAUUCUGUUUAAUUUUUAAAGUGGGUCAGAACUGAAGCAGGUAAGGUUUAUAAUUAGUUGUGACCAUAUAUUAGCAAGGAAGAAAGCAUGGUGCAGUGGCCAGUAGCACGUGUGUGGGCGCAAGGCGGACGGAGUUCUGGGUUUCGAGCUGCAGUUCGGGCACGCAAGGAUUGGAUUUUUUGCUGCAUACGUGGGGAGGAAUUGGGGUCUGACCAGGACUCUUGGCAGCAUGCAGAAGCGGUGCAAGCAGGUGGAUAAGGCUGCUGAUCGGUUGGGAGUUUAAAUGAAAUUCAAACUUGAAAUUUGGCCAAAAAUCAAGGAGCAAAUUAGGGAAUUGGAAUUUAAAAAGAAUUCCACUCAUUCGGCCAUAGCUAAAGAGUGCCGAAUAUUUUAGGCCUUUAGGAUUUAUUUUUUUCCUUCUUCUAUUUUCUAUUCUUUUCUAUCCUUCUCGCAUCUCUUCCCCUCUUCUCUCUUCUUUCUCCUCUUGCCGAUUCUCAUCGUAUCUUUUUGCCGAACCUAAAUCCUUCAUAUUCUUCUUCUUUUUUUCUCUCAUAAAUCCUCAACAAAACUAGUUAGCCAAAUUUCUAUUGAAGCCAAACCUCGUAUCUUUUCUUCCAAAACCGAAAUCUUACUACUUUGAGGUACUACAAAGGCUGAACCCUUGGUUGAGUAUUUUCCCUUCUUGUGCGGUGGUUGGAUCUACAAUCAAUUGGAGUAGUGUCAUGAUGAUAUAGGUAAACGCUCGAAUCUUUCUUUCGUUAUUCAUGAAUUAAGGUAAAAGCCGAAAAACCCCUAUAUGCAAAGGGUGCCUGUUGAUUGUACUCAAAGGGUUUAGUGGUGAUAUCUGAUUUGUUUUCCUAUAGUGUGGAUUAAAGGCUACUAAUCGAGGGCUUGGAUAUUUGGAACGACUAGAAUUAAAUCUAGUCCAUUUUUUCAGCAAAGGUAAGAACACUAGUGCCUAAAGUGUUAAUGGUCGAUUUUUAGUACGGAGUUUUGCAGAUAAGUUGCUGUGGAUUCAUAGUUAACGUAUUAGUAAUUGAUUGUAGGCAGUUCGUGUGUGGAACUCAUAGCAUUUCAUCGCAAACAGGUGUGUAAACGACACCCACUCAUAGACUAGAUCGGUAAAAGCCGAAAAGCCGAAAAGCCGGCAUUUAUGAACUUGCGAGCGUGCGAGCGCUUGUGAGGUGGUUUGGUUGUUAAUUUUGAUAAUCGCAAGCAGUAUGAUUGCAGAGUUCGUAAUUUCGUGCACUUCGGUAUAUUUGGGCUUAAUGGGCCAAAAAUAGGUUAGUGGGCCAACGGGCCCGAUUCGGUAAAAACGCUUGGUAAGUGCUUCUGUUAAUGUGUUAAUGGUUAGAAUAUGUAUGUAAACUCUAGAAUAGUAAAUUUUAUUAAACUACCCCUAAGUAUGAAAAUUACCGUUUUACCCCUAGGUGCUAAAUGACCGUUAUACACCUAGGGUUAAUUUUGACUGAAAUACAUGAUAUUCUGAUUCUGUUUGUUAUAUGCCAUGACAUGUAUAUCUGUUGCAUGGGGUUGGGUUUUGUUAUGGAGGAAGAACCCGUUCUGGUGGCUGUGCCACAUAUUCUGAUAUAAACAGCUUUGCUGCGGAUUAUAGUUAGUGCCGCAAUCGGUGCUAACACUGUAAGUGUAGGGAUGGAGUGGGUGAUUUAUUCCCCACAGGAAGUGUAGGGAUGGACGGAGGCAAGUGCAGGGUUGGAUGGGGUUAUCAUGCAUUAAUCAUAUGAGACUGUUUUAUUAUGGGCCAACUGUAUUAAAAUGGGCCCAACUGUGUUAAUAUGGGCAAGACCCAAUAUAUCUCGACUUGUAAUAGGGCUACGGCCCAGACUGAUACUGAUAUGGGCUAGGCCCAGUAUGCUCUGAUAUUGUAAUAGGGCUAUGGCCCAGAUUAAUACUGAUAUGGGCUAAGGCCCAGUUAACACUGAUUUUUGAAUAGGGCUUAGGCCCAGUAAAGCUUGAACUGAUUUGGGCUCUGGUUGGGAUACUUUACACACUGAGUUUUCCAAACUCACCCCCUUUUUCCCAUCUUUCUAGGUGAGCCUUAGAUCGAUGGACUUGGAGCUGGGUGGGAUUCAGAGUGGCCACGAAGAUUAAGUUUUGUUUUCUUUAAAAUAAGUUUUGCGUUUAUUAUUUUGAUUAUUUUUAUUCUGGUUAAAGUUGUAAUAAGGCCGCUCUUUUUAUUAUUUUUAAUAUUUUGGGUUAUUAAAUUGGUUAGCUCUAGGGCGCGUUUUAUAAAAUUUACUUAUUUUUAAAAUAUCACGAUAACCGAGCAAAGCUUCCGCAACGUAAAUGUUUUCAAAGGAAAUAAAUAUUUUAAUUAGACUUAAACUUAAUUUCUUGUUCGUGGACAAGUAAUAAGCUUAAAGUGUGGCAAUGGAUGUAUGCAUGUCUAGGAUUGGAUCAUGGAAGAGCUAGGUACUUAAGCAUUCUAAUUGACUCACCUCCUCUUUUCUUGAAUCCUACCUGGUGCGUAGUAUCCAUUCACUUUAAGCCAUGACAAAGAAGGUUUGAUUUUUUUUCGAUACUUAACAGUUUUUUUAAAAUAACAUGUUUCUGCCACUACAAAGGUUUACAAGUUUUCAAAGUUUCCCAUAAGAUUUUUCAAGGUUGUUAACAAUGCUUUGAUUAUUACAAUGAAUCACAUUUUGGAAAAAAAAUAAGGCUAAGGUUUUAUUCAAGUUUAAACGGUAAAAAUUUCUAAACAUCAAGAAGGGUUUUCAAUGAAAACAUGGUUUUCGAAAAACACUUCAAUGUGACACGCCGGAUUCGGUCGUAACGUCUGAGCCGGGUUUGGGGUGUUACAAUAAAAGUGCCAGGCAUAUAUUAAAGCAAAUAAUAAAUAGGAUAAUAAUAUUAAAAACAAUAAUCACACAUGCGAUAUUAAACGUAAAUAAUGAUAAUAUUAAACAUGAAAUAAAAACAACGAAUAUAUAUACAUAAUAAUAUUAAAAGUGUGUGCAUAAGAUAUAUAUAGUAAUGGAGUCAUAAAUAUACUAUGCAUAGUAUUUGAAAUAUAUAUAAAAUAGGGAAAAAGACUAACUAAUGUAGUAAAAACGCAUAGAUAUUAAAAAUGUAUAUAAAAGAAAAUAUGCGUGUAAAUAUAUGUACAUAAGACCGUAUAAAAGUAUACAACUAUGAUACUAAAGUAUAUAUAUACAUAUUAGAAUAUUUAUUGAAACUAAAACUAAUACUAAUAAUAGCAAAACUAAUAAAAUAAUAUAGUACAAAAAUAUGUAACUAAAAACAUUAUAAUAUGAAUACGUACAUAUAAUAUAAUAUUAAAAUAUACAUAAUAUAUAUAAAACAUAUAUUAAGAUUAAAAAUAAUAAAGAUGAUAUAAAUAUAUGUACAUGAAAUAAAAACAUAUAACUAAUAAAAAAUAAAUGAGGGAAAUAUACGAUAUAAAACGUAUGCGAUAUAUAUAUACAUUAGAAGUGAUAAAUAAAAAUAUUUGUGCGAUAAAAAUACUUACGUAUAUAUAGUAAUAACGUUAGAAAUAUUCAAUAUAUAAUAUAUAAAAAUAUACAUACAUAAUACAGAACAUAUAUAGCGUAGUAUUAAAAUAUAAACACAAUAUAUAUAUUUUGAAACUAAUAAUAAUAAUAAAAAUAUUGAUAAUACUUCACGAAUACAUACAUAUUAAAAAUAUACAUAAUAAUAUAUAUAAAUAUAAUAUUAAAAGUACGUAACAUAUAAAUAUAUAUAUACACAUAGUACAAUACAUAAUAUGGGCACAUUAGAAGUAAUAAUAAUAAUAAUAAUAAUAAUAAUAAUAAAUUAAAGUAGAGUAACGAAAAAAAGUAAAAAAAAAGGACGAAAUUGAAUUAAAAACUGAAUUUUGGGGCCAAUUUGAAAUAAAAACUAAAGAAAAGGACGAAAUUAUAACAUGCGCGUAACUCGGAGGGGCUAAAAGGGAAAUUUUCCCAAGCCUCCAAAAUGCACCGCAUUGAAUGGGACUAAAUCGUAAGGCGCGGAAAAUUAUGGGGCCAAAUUGAAAAUAAAAAUGACUUAAUUGCAAAAGAGUGAAAAAGCGGAAGGACCGCGCGCAUAAAUAAACCAUUAAUAGAAAACACGCGGAUCCUUGGCGGGUUUGGAUCGGGUCGGGUCAGGUAGGCUCAAAACGACGUCGUUUGGGGUUAAAGGGCAGCCCCCAAAACGACGUCGUUUUAGAGGGCUAUAUAAGGCCAAUUUUUGACAAAAAAAUCAUUUUGAAGAGAGAAAGAAAAAAAAAGAAGGGAGAAAGAAGAGAGAAGGGAGAGGGGGAAAGGAAAUCCGGCCAGAGGGGCCAGUCACCGGCCGCCGUCUGUCGCCGGCGCCAGCCACCACCCGCGGUGGCUGAAAAAAGGUAAUUUUUUUUUAUAUUUUUUAUUAUUAUAUUUUUAUAUGUUUUAAAGUAUAUCGGUGAGAAAAUAAGCUUAAAAAAAUGAAAAUAAAAUAGAAAAAAAGGAAAAUCACCUUCGUUCUUUGAUUUCGAUUUUUGUUUUCUGUUUCUCUGAUUUUGUGUUUGAUUUGGUGAUUAUUGUCUUCAAUAUUGAUGGAAUUGCUAUCUUUUUGCUUAAAAAACAAAUGCUUUUCUGUGUAUUAUUUUAGAGUUGCCGAAAAUAGGAGAAGAAAAAAAAAGAGCCUUUACAUUUGAUUUCAUGGCUCUUAUAGCCUUAUAAUUUUAUUUUCUAUUACUUUCUGUCUCUUCAUUGCUGCUUGCAGGGUAUGGAGGUGCCAGGCAUGCGGGGAUGGUGUUGGCAGAAGCAUGGGCGAUGGCUAGGUAUGGGGGCGACCAAGGAUGGUGCUGGUGUCAGAGGAGUGGAGGAGAGCGGCUGAAAACUUUGGUGGCUAGGGUUUGCUGCUGAAAAUUUUUUUUAGAUAGUGGGCUUGGGUUGUUGGGGUUUGUAAAUUGGGUUUGGGUAUUGUAUUAUUGGGUUGAUCUGGUUUGUAAAAUGAACAUUUAUUUGGGUUAUUUGGAUUUUAUUUUCUUCUUGUUUACUUGGGCCAAAAAUUGGCCAUUACAACUAGCAUACGAAGCGGCUUCUACCCAUUUGGUGAAGUAGUCGAUAACCACAAAGAUGAACCGAUGCCCAUUGGAAGCUUUCGGCUAUAUUGGUCCAAUCACAUCCAUGCCCCACAUGGAGAAUGGCCAUGGAGAAAACAUGACAUGCAGCAGUGAAUGAGGCACAUGAAUUUUAUCUCCGUAGAUUUGGCACUUAUGGCAUCUCUUUUUGACACAGUCUCCUUCCAUGGUGGACCAAUAAUACCCGAAUCUCAUAAUUUGCCUGCCCAUUGUGGAGCCAUUAGCGUGUGUCCCACAGACGCCUUCAUGGACUUCUUCCACAAUUUUCUUAGCCUCCACAGCGUCUACACAUCUUAGUAGCACUUGAUCCUUUCUUCUUUUGUAUAGGAUAUCUCCAUUUAAGACAUAAUCGAUGGCCAAUCUUCUUAGCGUUCUUUUGUCAUUCUCGCUUGCCUGGUCUGGGUACUCACGAUUCUUCACGUAUUGCAAUAUAUCGUGAUACCAAUGGUGAUCAUCUUUCUCUUCAUCUUCUUCAAUAUUGUAACAGUGGGCCGGAAUUUCAUAACUGCUCAUCCAGAUGGGUUUGACAUCUUCAUGUUUGUUCACCUUGAUCAUGGAGGCUAAAGAAGCCAAAGCAUUAGCCAUCUAAUUUUCGUCUCGUGGAAGGUAAUGUCAUCAAACUCUUUAACCAAUUCCAGGACCAGCUUCCGAUAAUCGAUUAACUUGGGGUCUCUAGUCUCCCAUUCUCCUUUAAGUUGAUAAAUCACUGAGGCAGAAUCUCCAUACACCUCUAACACUUUAAUCUUGCGUUCUAUGGCUGCGCGGAUACCUAUGAUACACGCUUCGUAUUCCGCCAUGUUAUUCGUACAAUCAAAAUUCAAUUUACUAGUGAAUGGAUAAUGAUCUCCGUUUGGGGAUACCAAGACAGCCCCGAUUCCAUUGCCCACAGCAUUUGACGCCCCAUCAAAGUUCAGUUUCCAAGGAAGUCCUUCUGGAUCACCUUCUUCAGCGGUCACAACACACAUUAGGUCUUCAUUCGGGAAGUCGAAGUUUAGAGGCUCGUAAUCUUCCAAAGCACUGCUGGCCAAAAAGUCUGCUAUUGCACUCCCUUUUACGGCUUUCUGGUUCACAUAGACUAUGUCGAAUUCAGAAAGCAGAAUCUACCAUCGGGCUAUUCUUCCAUUCAAGACUGUUGACUCCAUCAUGUACUUUAAAGGGUCCAAUUUUGAUAUGAACCAAGUGGUGUGAUACAACAUAUACUGUCUCAGCCUUCGGGUUGUCCAAAUUAGGGCACAACACAACUUCUCUAUCGGCGGGUACCUUGUCUCACAUUCCGUGAACUUUUUACUGAGAUAGUAAAUAGCUUUUUCUUUCCUUCCUGACUCAUCAUGUGACCCAAUACGCACCCCAUGAAAUUCUUGAAUACUGCCAAAUACAAUAUCAACGGCUUAUCGGGGUUAGGUGGCAUUAGCACCGGAGCAUUAGAUAAGUAUUGUUUGACCUUAUCGAAAGCCCUCUGGUAUUUUUCAUCCCAUUCACCUGGGUUGUGUUUCUUGAGGAGGCAGAAAACAGGAUCACAUUUCUCGGUUAGUUGUGAAAUGAACCGAGCGCUGUAAUUUAAUCUUCCUAAAAAACCUCGAACUUCUUUCUGAGUGCGCGGUGGGGAUAGCUCUUGUAUGGCUUUAACUUUGUCUGUAUCGAUCUCGAUCCCUUUCUCACUAACCAAAAAUUUAAGUAACUUUCCAGACUUGGCUCCAAAGGUACAUUUUGCGGGGUUGAGUUUUAGCUGAAACUUCCUCAACCUCAAGAACAAUUUUUCAGGACUUGUAUAUGCUCCUUCUCUGUUCGAGACUUAGCUAUCAUAUCAUCGACAUAAACCUCGAUUUCAUUAUGCAUCAUGUCAUGAAAAAGGGUUACCAUGGCUCUCUGAUAAGUUGCCCCCGCAUUCUUCAGUCCAAAUGGCAUCACCUUGUAGUAGAACGUGCCCCACAUGGUUACAAAUGUGGUCUUUUCCAUAUCCUCAGGAUGCAUCUUGAUCUGGUUAUAUCCGGAAAAGCCGUCCAUGAAUGAAAACAGUGAGUGUCCUGCCAUGUUGUCCACUAGGGUGUCGAUGUGAGGCAGUGGGAAAUUGUCUUUCGCGCUGGCUUUGUUCAAAUCUCUGUAGUCGACACACAUUCGCACUUUUCCAUCUUUCUUAGGGACGGGGACGAUGUUGGCUACCCAAUCUGAGUAUUUUACCACCUUCAGGAAUCCGGCGUCGAAUUACUUUCGAACCUCUUCUAUUAUUUUUAGCCAGACAUCGGGCCUUAUUCUUCGGAGUUUUUACUGAACUGGCUUACACUCUACUUUUAUGAGGAGUCGGUGCACCACGAUGUCAGUGUCCAACCCAGGCAUAUCUUGGUAUGACCAUACGAAGACAUCUUUGAAUUCUUGAAGUAAUUCAAUGAUGUCUCGCUUCAUCUCCGUAGUGAUACAUGUUCCGAUCCUUACCUCUUGUCCUUCUUCUAAGCUCACAAUUUCAACUGAUUCUUUGUGAGGUAGGAUUUGUUUCUCGUCUUGUUCUACCAUCCUCAACAAAUCAGGAGAUAGGUUAUAGCAUUGGUCAUCUUCAAAAUCCUGAGAAUCAUCUAUACACACAUCUCGUUCGAAAGGAAAUUCUGAGUUGCUAGCAAUGUCACUCGUAUCAUUAAUAUCUGGAGACCUGUUAUGAGGAUGAAGGCAGAUACAAAGAAUCAAAAGAAUUCAAAACAUUUGUUUGCGUGGUAUGAUUAUGAAUGACGAAUGAAAGAAUAUUUAGAAGAAAUGUUUCUAGAAUCAAAGAAUCCAAAAGUAAUCAUUUGUAUGGUAAUGAAAUUGAGAGGACGAGAGAACAUUUGCUCAAAAAUGAUAAUAACUAUGCAUUUUAUUGAAAUAACGUUUUUUAAACAUCGGCCUAUUUCACAAAAGAUUCUUAUUACUCCUAGGCCUAGAGCAAUAAGUGUGUUUUGGACAUUACUCUGAAUCCGCUCUAAAAACUACAGGAAUCUCUUCCGCAGUCCAGUUGUCCAGAACACUUCCAGGUGUGUAGGGGCAAAUGCCCGACAAACUUUCUCUUUCAGUCUCUUCUUCGUAUAUGACGUUGAUGUCUAAGCUUUCUAGCCUUUUCUUCUAUAGCUCACGUCAUUGGCGUGUCUCUUUCGGGAUGAAUGAUUCCCCGGACACAAAUAUUUUUAAUAUAUGGGGGAAUAUCAUUGGUUCCCACUUGAUUUCCUCUCCCGUUAACGGUCUAGCUUGUUAACGGAGAUAUCGUUGGCAAUAUGUGUCUCAUUUAAGACCUUCAUUAGCGCGCUACGAUGAACUUUCGAGCUUAGAAGCAAGGUCAGCACCAAAAUGCGGGCUGGUUGUUUACAUAGCUGUUCCACUACACUGUAUUCGCUAUGCUUUAGAAAUUUUAAAAACUCAUUGGCCUCCUCUUUGUUAACUGGCUCAUUAAUAGGUUUGGUUGCUUUUUCCUUUGUUUCCUAAACCAUUGGGGCUUUUCCUUUUGUGGGUUGUGCCUCCUCAUUUGAUGUAUCGUAACGCCUCCCACUACGUGUAUAGGAAUCCCUGUCUUGACCCUCUUUUAAAGCAUCCAUUAAGCUUUCAUUUCCCGUAAUCAUUACAUUGCAAUCAUAAUUCUACGGGACCUUUUUGUUGUCUUUAUAGGAGAAGACUGCAGAUCUUUGGAUUAUGACCCUUGGUGGCAUUUGAACUCUAGCUUUAUUAUUUUUGGGUCUCAAUAUGAUAACCACAGGAUAGUUGGUCGUUUGACUCUGCGCUACCGAUCCUCCCUCUGAUGCGCAUAUAUUUCCCUCUACCGGGUCUUUGGUUUCUUUAUAGAAUUCUAUUUCCUUAUUGUUCAUCAUGUUUUGUACUAGGGUCCUGAACUCCAUGCAAUCUUGGAUUCAUGCCCCACCUCGUCGUGAAACUCACAGUAGUCUCUCUCUUCUUCGGAUUCUUCCCUCGAAUCCAACGCAAUCAAUCCUCUCUUGGCCAUCUCCUUCCAUACCCGCCUCAACGGGGUCCUGACUUCUGCCACCUCAUACUUGGUCUUCUUGUUCAAGCCUUCACUUAUCCCAUUCACUCCUUGGUCAGUAUGAUCGGGGAGUGGGUUACCUGCUACAUUGGGUGUGGCUGGGUCGUCAAAUCUCACGAUCCCCAUCUUAAUGAGUCUUUCGACUAAUUUUUUAAACACAGCACAGUUUUUUAUAGAGUGCCCGGUGAUUCCCGCGUGGUAUUCACAUUGGGCGUUUGUAUCAUACCAUUUGGGAUACGGGGGCUGCAGUGGCUUCAGGUAGAAAGGGGACACCACAUGAGCGUUAAACAGGUUCUGGUACAACUCCCUAUACGUCAUGGGUAUAGGGGUGAAUUGUGGCCUUUCUGUGUUCUCCCUCGCGUUGGAUUCUUGUUUUACAGAGCUUUGCUGAUUGGUAGUCACCGUCCUGGGUUGAUUUACGGUGAAUGACUUGGACUGACCUUUGGUAGAUGUGCUCGCAUUGUUUACUUCAUUGUCUUUUUUCCUCGGGGCCGACUUCCUAGCACUCUCUCCCGAUUCUAUCUUGCCGCUCCUUACAUAAUUUUUGAUCAUUUCCCUCGUCAUCACUAUGUCAGAGAAGCUUUUUGUGGCGCUUCCUAACAUAUGGGUGAUAAAAGGGGCUUUCAAGGUGUUGAUAAAGAGCAUUGUCGUCUCUUUUUCUAGAAACAGCGGCUGAACUUGUAUGGCCACUUCUCUCUACCUUUGCGCGUACUGUCUGAAGCUUUCAUUUAAUAUCUUCUCCAUGUUCUGGAGAGUGAUUCUGUUAGGAGUCAUGUCCAUCACAUGGUUGUAUUGUUUCAUAAAGGCCUGGGCCAGGUCCUUCCACGAGUUAAUCUUAGAGCGGCUUAAUUGGUUGUACCAAUUAGACGCUGCCCCGACCAGACUAUCUUGAAAGCAGUGGAUUAAUAGCUGGAUAUUGUUAACAUAUCCCGUCAUUCGCCUGCAGAACAUAGUGAUAUGAGCUUCAGGGCAACUUGUUCCAUUGUAUUUCUCGAAUUCGGGCAUUUUGAAUUUAGGGGGAAGAACUAAAUCUGGGACCAAACUUAGGUCAUUGGCAUCAAUCCCUUGAUGAUAAUCCGCGCUCUCUAUGGCUUUGAAUUUCUCCUCAAGCCAUCUAUACCAUUCUUCCAAUUGUUUUUGCGAAUCUAUCAUCACUUUUUCUUCUUCAGCAAUUUCAUCCAAAUCGGGAACGGGCGGAUAGUUCGGGUUGUUGACAAAGUUAGAGCCUGAACCGAUUUGGAAAUUCAUCGGUAUUGAAGCUCCGGCCUAAACCUGCUGGGGCAUGAUCGUGACAGAUGGUUUCGGUAGGUUAAUCUCGGGCUUCAUCGUUACAUGUAUCGGAGUGAAGCCAGGGGGUAUUGAGGAUUUUCGUUAGUUUCUUCAAUUUUGUCCAUGGGGCCCUUUCCCUUAUCCGUUCCUCCCAACAGCAAUUGGGAUAACUGACUCAUCAUUUCCCUCUGGGACUCCAUCAUUUGUUCUUUCAUCUCUCGCUGAAUCUUGGCUAGCUGCUCUUGUAUCUAGGACUGUAUUUGUUCUUGCAUGUCAUUUUGUAUCUGCUCCAAUUUCUCGAGUCUCUUAUCCAUUGAUUUUUUCAUCGUACCGUAGGGGUGUGUGGUUGGUUGGUUUUCAUUGGUUUCCAGGUUACUGAAAUAAUUUUUAAUUAAUUAAUUAGAAAACUCUUAUGGCCUUUAAUGCAUAAUGAUAUGAUGCAAAUGCAAAUGCAUGAAUGCAAAGAAGGUAUCAAUUUUGAUUCAAUUGCCCUUAGAAAAUUUCACUUGAAAAUAAAAUCUUUUACAUAAAGUCGAGUUACAAAUAAAAUUUCACUCUAACACUCAAAGUCCUAAUUUUUCUAAGCAAUGAGGCCAGCUCUUGUCCGCGCUCCGACUCCAACUCAUAUUUCAUGCUUAGUGUGUCUGCCUAAACCGCUAGAGUUUACAAAUAGUCCGCUACCUCCCGAAUCUGGGUUAUGGCCUCCCCCAUGAGGUAAUCUCUAUUUCUGACUUGGUCUAGCGCAUAGUGAAGCUGCUCUUUCCAACGAUCCUCGUUUGCAUCUAAAAGCAGGACCCACAUCUCACAGUUUUGCAGUGACACCUCUAACUCUUCUAUUUUUCCUUUCAUUUCUUUUAUCUUGCUCAAGCUUGCCCUCAACUCUAUUACGAUGCUGCGAUUUCGGUACUGAUGUAGAGACUUCUCGAGUUCUGCCACUCUAGCCCUUAAUUCACCUCACUCAUUUCUGCUCUCCGACAUACUCUUCUUUAAAUCUUCGUUUCAUGCCUGAGCUUCUUGGAAUUUCUUUUCCCAUCGGUCGGUAUUGGCCUUUUCCUCUCGAAUUUCAUGGCUCCAUUGUUCGGAAGUCUUUCCUAACCCCGCAGUCCUCAUAGAUAGCUGCAGCUUCUUAUAGUCCGUUUUCAAGCUGUCUAGAUCAUCUUCGGCCUUAAUUUUUCCUUUUCUCCACUUCUCAGCCUCUGACCUUUGGACAUCAGCGUCUAACCUUGGUGCAUAUUUUCUUCCUCCAAUUGUUCGAUCUUCUUCCCAAGCUCCAAACUCUUCUUCUUGAAAUCUUGCCUUAUAAUUUCCAAUUCUGAUGGGGCGACUUGUAAUUGUUCUCCGAUAGGUCGAGCAUUUUCCAAGCUUGGCCUAGGAAUAUUAUCAUUAAUCCUAUUCUUAAACCACUCGCUAUACUUGGGCGUUACCAUGGAACCGACGGCUAAUCUCUUCAUCCAACAAGUUUACUUUCAGGCAUCUGAUAACUCCCGAACUCUCUUCUUAUAAUGAGCACCCUUAAAAGAGAAUUCACUCUGAGCAAGUCCGUAGGUCGUGGGUACAAACUGCCUCGACUUAUAUUGCCUCAAGGCUAUCAACGGAGUAUACCCGGUAGCUCCCCAAAUUCCUAACAAUAGCACCCAAUCGAAGUUACCACAUCGGUACAUGAUCUCAUCAAGAACCAUCCAAUAAGCUCUCCACUCGAUCUCCCCCUCCUUGAGGUUUUGAAGAAUGUCCAUCCACUUCUCCUCCGAGAUAUCCUCUUUCCUCUGUAUAGUUGCCUCUUCUUUUAACUGGGAAUAACUUUCAGAAAAGACCCGAUAGGAAACCUUGUCUACCUUCCAAAAGUGCCCGUGAAACCAUGCCAUCAACAACUAUGCACAUCCAAUAAACCGCCCCUCGCCUGCCUUCCGACAUGAGCUCAAAGAUCUGAACGUUUCUGCCAAUAUCGCCGGUACUGGUGUGAUUCCCUUUUCAAGACGAUCGAACAAGUCAAUGACUGCCUCGUCCACGUGCCUCAACACCUUAGGAAAAAUCACUAAUCCGUAGAUGCUUAAGGCAAAUAUAUCGACCCUCUUUCUUUCAUCUGGAUGCGUCAAGAUCAAAUCUCGCAAAUUCUCCCAAAGGAUACAUUUGCUAUCUCCCUUUUGCUGAAUCCGAGCAGUGACCCAAGGCUCACUCAUCCCAGAAAUGCUCAUCAGCUUCUUCACGAAAGUCUGACUACUAAAAACUCAGGCAUAAGUCUUCCGGACCUGAAUCUUUGGACACUUAAGCAGCGUAGUGUAUUCCUCCAUGGUAGGUACCAAAUCCACUUCUCCAAAAGUGAAACACUUGUGCGCAGAAUUCCAAAACUGCACCAAGGCUCGGAACAAAUUCUUAUCCACUCUAACGUCUAGCAAGUCGGAUAUGUCACUAUAGCUUUGGUAAAACAACUGCUUGAUCCCUUCAUCCCAACUAGCCUAAAUGUCUAUCAACUCUUGCAACUCAUUCUGUACUACAUUGACGUGAGUGAAAUCCUGCAGCUCCGAUACAUACCCUUCUGCCAAGCUAUCCCCUCUCUCUGAUUGUAGCCUCUCCGACCAUGCACGAACGGUCGUGUUAUCCUCGACUUUACUAAGAAAUUCAUUCUCCAUGUCAAACUUCUAACUUAGUAAUUGAAUACGGAUUAACACCUCCUUUAGUAUGCAAUGUCAUGCAAAAAAGACAAUCAAAACAAAACACCGGUUAGUACCAAAUAAUAGCGAUAGAAUGCAAGAACAUAAACAAUAACUAUAACGCAUAUACAAGUAAGUACUAAGACUCGACGCGGCUUCACCCAAGGAUAGCUCCUAAGGUUCACUACAUGUGGUUUAGUUCUAGGGAUAAGGUACCCGAACCAACAGAUUCCUCAAUCUUCACCAAUUAUAGGCUCAUAUAGAUCGAGUUCGGUUCGGGGGGAUACAUUUCCCUAAGACCAUGCGGAGAUGAAAACCUCACGAAAUCAUAGGUACGGAUGUACCCCAGAAGCAAUCCACUAGCUCAUGCAGAGGUGAAAAACCUCACGAAAGCGCUCAAUCUUCACCCAUUAUAGGCUCAUAUAGAUCGAGUUCAGGUCGGGGGGAUACAUUUCCCUAUGACCAUGCGGAGAUGAAAAUCUCAUGAAAUCAUAGGUACGGAUGUACCCCAGAAGCAAUCCACUAGCUCAUGCAGAGGUGAAAAACCUCACGAAAGCGUAGUUUCUUACUUCCACUUAGAAGGUGUGACCACAGUGGUCGUGAAAUGAAAUGCAGCAUUAUUCUACAAGACCCAUACCGAAACAAUCAUACAAUCAAAUGCAAUCGAAAGACACGUUAUUUUUAAAACAAAUUUUGAUUUUUGACAAAAGGACAGCAAAUAAACGAUUUUAUGGCUCAACUUUCUAGCGUCCCCAGCGGAGUCGCCAAGCUGUCAAAACCAUCCCUCAAUUUAAAAAUUUUGAAUUUUUUUUAAAAAAAAGGGGGGAAAGUCGACUUUUGAAAAAUAAAUACAUGGAGUCGCCACCGAUCUUUUGUUUUGGUGUGAUCAGAUCACCUAAAAAUGAGGUUAGUUUAAUAAAACAUUUUUGGUUUAUUAAAACACCAACUAUGGUCUACGAAAAUUUUAGAAAACGGGCUCGGGAGUCGGUUACGUAUGAGGAAGGGUUAGUACCCUCACUACGCCCAAAAUUGGUACCAAAUCGAUUAAAUACUGUCCUUAUGUCUAAAAUUAAAAAUGUUUUUGAAAUGUGGUUCUUUUUUAAUAACAUUUGAAUAACCCGAGUUGAUUGUCAAAAAUAUUCUUGUUUCGACGUCCGAAAAUUUAUAAUUUGAAAAUCACAAAAGGGUGCUCAAAUAUUUAGUCCAACGGAACACCGAAACCCAGCACAGUAGGGCACGAUUCCUCGAAUUUCCAAACAUCAAAUAUAGCCUUUGUUUUAAAGGGUUUUCUUAAAAAACAUGAGUGAAAACCUAAAGGAAUAUUCGAUUGUUUUGAACUAACGAGAAAUCACAACCCAGCACGAUAGGGCAUGAUUCUCGAAUUGUCAAACACCGAGUAUUGCCUUCGUUUUAGAGGAUUUUUAAAAGACCUUAAUGGAAUCUUAAAGGGAUAUUUGAUUAUUUUGAGCAAAUGAGAAAUUGCAACCCAACACGUUAGGGCACGAUUCCGCGAAUUGCCAAAUAUCAAACUUUGCCUUCGUUUUAAAGACUUUUUAAGAGGUAUGAGUGAAAGUUUGAAGGGAUAUUCGAUUAUUUUGAGCAAACGCGAAAUUGCAACUCAACACGUUAGGGCACUAUUCCGCGAAUUGCCAAAUAUCGAAUCUCGUCUUCGCUUUAAAGAAUUUUUAAAUGAAUACUUGUAAAACUAGCUUAAAACGCAUUGAUUUGAUUUGAAAUAAGACGAAAUUGAUCACAAAAUUUGGGUUUUAUAAAACCACAUUUCAAAAAUCAAGUGUAGAACGAUGAAUGAGGUAAUAUGUGUAUGCAUAAAAAUACGACAAUUAAAAAUGAAAAUAAUACAAUCAACUACAAGAACUUAAAUGAAUAAGCAUAACUAGCUUGGAAACAUAACCCAAUUUCAAUCAUGCAUGGAGAAUAAUAAACAUGGUGAUAUGAAAUAAUGAACAAAUGAAUAAUGCAAACAUAAUUAUGGCAUAACAAAAAAAUGAUUACUAUUAGAUACACAAAACAAAAUGCAAAUCGGAGAAGCAAUAUGGUAUGAGAUCAUUUUAAAACAAUGAUAAGUACUUAAUAUAGAUUUUAUAUAAUGAAUUAAUGGAUUUUAAAAAAAAAACUAGAGGUAUGUAAUUGUUUAAAUGUGCAUUAUAGAAUAGAGAUUUUUAAGGUUAAAUAGUAUGCAAGGUGUUAAAAAUAUAAAAAUAAAUACGCACAAUAAAGAAGAAUUUAAUGAUGUAUAAAAAUAUGAAAAUAGUAUUAAGAUGUGAGAUUCUAAAUCAAAAUAGUAUGUGAGAAAAUACGUUCUAAAAACAAUUUAUAUACAUAAGGAUAUCUAUAUAGUAAAAUUUAAAAAACUUCAUAAAAUAAAUUAGAUAUGACUUAAAACGUACAUAGAAUUAAGUGAAUUUUAUUAUGGAUUAUAUAUAUAUAUUAGUUUUAAGAAUAUACUUAUAUAUAUAUAAAACUAUAUGCAUAAAAUAACAAGGAUUCAAGGGUAUAUUUAUAAACCAAAUAUACAUGCCAAUACAUACAUAUACAUGCAUAAUAAUCAAUUGAAUAAUAUUUAAAACAUGCAUGCAAAAUGUAAUAUGAUAACAAAAAUGUAUGAAUGGAUUUAAAGUCAUGUAUGAAAUAAAACAACUUUACUAUAGACUAUGUAUGAGUAUAUAUAUAUUAGCGUAUAUACAAAAACAUUUUUUUUAAAAAAGGAUAGCAUACGACAUGACAAUUCGAUUGCCGCAACUAUAACAAAUAAGUAGGUGAUAUAGAUAAUACGGUUAACGCGAAUGAACAAAUUCGAAUAAAGUAUAAAUAACAUGGAAUGAAUCUAAAAAGAAAACUAAUUGAAGUCACAUUAAAAUGGAAGGAUAAUUCGCAAAUACAAAUAAGGGCCAGCACAUAAUGUAUACAAAUAUACAAGGAUCAAAACUGGAAUUAUUCCAGACUCCAAAACGUUGUGUACAAGUGCGGGCUAAAGUGCAAACGCAUGCGAAUCGCAAGGGCAAUUUUAAGAAAAUGAAACACAAAUGUGAGCUGAUUGAACUGAGGCGCGAAGAGAGAGGGACCGAGGUUGAGAAUAUCCCAUCAGCGACCAGACACGCGGAUCUUGAGCGUGUGCGGGUCGGGUCAUCGGGUUGUAGCCUUGAACAUAGUCGUUUUGAGGCCAUUAAUUUGGCCUAAAAUGGUGACGUACAGAGGUCCCUUAUAGCCACCGAAGUAAACCCUAAUAUGUUUGCAACCAUUCACAAAAAAAAAGAAAAAAACUAAGACUCUCUCUCAAUCCUCCACCGACCAACAACCUUUCGAAGGUCUGUUCCUCUGCCUCUCCUUUUGACUCACACGAGAGUCAAUCAAGGCUUCCUCGAGUCGAAAGAUUCGUGAGUCUUGCUUAUAGCCCCAAAUCGCCACUUAGUUUCAAUCAUGGUGAAACAAGCGUGGAUUCGAAGGCAUCAAACGCAGGUAAGUGUCGUUUCCUCUCUUUUUUUUGUUAUUUACAUUCGAUCAAAAAAGGGUAAACGAGAAGGUCAGAGAGAAACAAGUGACAGGAAUUGCGAAUAAAUCACAUUUUUUCGUCUAUUGCUUUUCUAUUGCGUAUAUUGUCAGUGUUGGUAUUUGUAACCUUUACAACCAUUAAAGAUCCUGGCUUUAUAGCCGAAAAGAAGAAGGAAAAAUAAUAAAAAUAAAUCAAAAGAAUUCGAAAUUUGUUUUUUGCUUUUUUCUGCUCUAUGCUGCUGUUGCGUUUGUCUUGUUUGCAGGUACGGAGCAAGGCGCGUGUACGGGGGUCGUGUUGGCGCUUGCCAUGGGCGUACGAGGGCUGUUGACGUGGAGGCACGAGCGGCGAUUGGGCUGUACGGUGGCUGAAGGCUGCGGCGCCUCUGCUGCUAGGACUAGGGUUUGGUGAAAUUUGUUUAGCAUUUGGGCUGUUUGGGCUCAUUUCGAGUGUUGGGUUAGUCUUUGGGCAUGGGGUUUUAAUCAUUGGGUCUAGGUAUUGGGCUUGUAACAGGACAUUAAUUAAUGAACUUUGUUUUUGUUUAUUCAUUUUGUAUAUAAAUUUAUAUAUAGGGUUUUUAGCGAGCCCGGGCCAAAAUUGGUCACUACAUUGGGUUUUAACAUUCAAGGUAUAUUUUUAAACGAAUCGGUUUGGACAAAAUUUGAAGUUAUUUUUAUUUCGAGUUGAACUAGACUUGGACAAACAUAAAUUAUAUUAACAUCAGUGAUUUAAUAACAGGAUCGGUAGUUGAACCGGUCAGACCAUUGGUUUGACAAUCCAACAAUAAUUAAAAAAUUCUCAAAAAUAUUAAGCAUUUAUAAAACCGGUUCAAAUACCAAUUUUUUGUCCCAACUUCUGUUUUUCUAUCAAUUUUGAGCAUUUUGUCACAAGUUAGUUCAACCCCUAUGUGUCAGAGUAUGCCCAAAGACCAAUCAUAAGAUGAUUAUAAUCACAUACUUGUUUUACCUUAUUUGUUAAUAUAAGACAUUGUCAUUGUUAUUUUAGUUUCUUUUUCUAUGUGUGUAAAUGAACUGAUUAAUAACAAAGUCUUGAGAAUAAUAUGAUAAUUCUUAAAAGGUCCUUAGUCAAGUAUUAUUGUGGGCUUGGACAAUAAUAAUGCAUUGAGACUAAUGUGUAGUUGAUUGAUGACAAAGUAUUGUCAUUGACAUAGGGAUGUCAAAAUCAAUACAUGAGAAUAUGUUAGAGAACGACAUAUUGGACUGACCCAUUAUGAGUAUGUUUCUUGAAUUAUUAUGUAAUAGUCACAACAUUACUCAUAGUGAUAACUAUGUCUACAAUCCUCAGACUUGAGAUCAUCAUUGUCCUAAUAUCGUGAGUUGUAUAUUUUGAUACAGUCAAAUGUCUACUGUAAUAGAUUGUACUAUAAAGACUGAUGUUGGGUAUGCCACAAUCUUUGCAGUGGGAUAUUAUUGAUCAAGAUAGGAUUUGUCCCUCCUACAUAAUGGGAGCAAUAUUUAGGCCACUUGAUGGAGUGAGACUAGAAAUGUAUGGCCAUAUUUAGUUUAUAUGAGAUACCACACUUAUUUGUUUAUUGUAGUCUACUCAGAAUAUCAAGAAAUAUGAGAUUGGACUAUACAAGUGUAAUUAUUCUAUGACCUAUGUCCAAUCUAGAUAUAAAUGAUAAAAUGAUAUAAUACAUGAAAAAUUUUAUCACAAAAAGGUUAUGUCGAAUCAAGACUUUUUAUAACUUGGGUAGCAAUGACGUAUUGCUAGAUGCCACUCAUUACUUGUGAAAUUAAAAAUGUUCUAGUAUUACUACUAACAUUACAAGAGUCUACAAGGUCACACCCUAUGGUUGAAGCGAACAUAAUCCAAACACAGUUGGUAUUUGACAGUUAAAUAUUGAAUGUAUUAUAUAUACAAACUUAUUGUACACGAAUAGAGAACAUAGUUAAAAUUAAUAUAUGAAUUUGAUUCAUAUAUAAAUAUUAACUAAAUAUAGUUUACAUAAAUUAUUAAAAUAAAUAGUUAUAAUAAAAAAUUUGGUCAAAGAUGAAAACAUGGAAGUUAAUAUUCUUUUAGAAAGAAUAUAAUGUUUUAAUACUUUCCACAUGUUUCUCCAAAGGAAUGGUUUCAUUUUUUUUAUGUGAUAUUAAAGAAAAAAGAAUAGAAUCCCUAAUAGUGUGGAUGUUUCCAAGAAAAAAAGAUUAAAGAGGAUCUAACAACCAUUUAUUAUAUUAUUCUCUCUGAAAGGUUUAAUGAGAGUUUUAUUGUUUGUUCUUUAACUGGGUGGACUACGUAGAGGUCGAGACGUUUUUGUUGUGGCUUGGGAUCGAUAUUGCGCAAGGGGGACAGAUUGAAACAGGUAUAUCUUCAACCUUGUUUCAACCUGAUUCGUUUCUUGUACUUGGAUCUAUAGUUGUUGAUUGUUGAUUUUUUUUUCGUUGCGCCACAAGGCAUACCAAUAUUCCAACACUAUGUCUAUACCGAUAUACUGACUAAUUCUUUUAUUCAAUCAAUCCGAUUGACUAAUUCAUUACAAUACAUAGGCUUAAUCUAAAACUGACCCCACUACUGUAAAAGAUUUGGCAUGUGAGGAAUUUUAUUUAUUUAUUUAGUUGUGCAAUGAGUGAAGGAUUGAUUUUGCUUUCUCUACUUUAUCUUUGGCUUGAAUUGGAAGUUUGUUGCUUAUAAGAUAAUGUUAGUGUCUUAAAGCAGAUACAAGACAUCACCAUUUAUUGGCCCUAUUUACAUUGUCAAUCACUUUCCCACAUUCACCCUCCAUUGUACGGACAAUGAAGUUUUUAAUUAAGUCUCAUUUUGCCUUACCUAAGCAUGAAGUGGCAUUAACCCUUCAUUAAUAAUUUUAUUAUUUCUAAAAAGUGUGUUUAUAAAAUUUUGGUUUUCAUAGUUUUUUCUUUAAUUUCACAUCAUUUCAUCAUCUAUUUUUAUGAUAUUAGGUGGGUUCAGAUUAAUAAAAUUUUUAAUUGUUAAGAGGAAGGGUGAAGUUAGAAAAAAAAAUUAGGAGUUGAGAUAAAAUUAUAAAAUUUUAGAAUGGUAGAACUAAAAAUUUUGUAUUAGAAAUGCUAUUAAUUUUUAGAAAGGUUAAAAAUAAUUUUUUUCUUUUUUAAUUAAUAGAUAAAAAGGCCUAAAUUAAUAGUUUUAUGUUUUUAGAGGGGCUUAAAAGAAAAUUUCACAUUUAGCCAAGAAGGCCUUAAUUAUGGCUUAUUGCUAACAUUAUAAAGGUAAAGGAUCAAAGUAUGUCAAAUCAUGUUAACAACAGUAGUUAACACUAUCGUAAAUUUGGACUAACUAUUAACAUUGUAAAAAUAGAGUGACCUGAUUAUGUCAAAUUAAUGUAAAUAGAUUAAAUUUCAGAUUUCAACAUAGUAGAAGGACUGAAACUAGAAAUAGACGAGGAACAAAUAUUUAGGGAUUUUGGGUGUACAUUGUGAGCUUGCUGUGGCAAACAAGAGGGCGACUGGUAGGAAGGCCCAUGGGGUCCAAUAAUUCCCAAAACAUUUGUAAAAGGUCUAAUUUUGCCCACAAUCCCACUACUCUUCAAACUUUUGCAACUGGUCCCCCCUACUUUAAUUUAAGGAAUGUACAAUCCCACUACUCUUCAAACUUUUGCAACUGGUCCCCUCUACUUUAAUUUAAGGAAUGUAAUGUUUCUACCUGUAUAAUUCAAAAAUUAAAAUGCCGUCGAUAGCAAAUAUUCAAAUUUAAUAGAAGUUAAUUAAAUAAUUUUUAUCAAUUGAACUUUAAUUUUUAAAUUAAACCUUUAAAUAUAAAAAAAAUCAUAUAAUCAAAUUUAAUGAAAAUUGAAAAUUCGUUAUCAUCGUUAUCAAUUAAACUUUGAUUUUUAAAUCAAACAAGAAAAAUAAUUAAAUUAUUAAAAAAAUACAGAAGGAAAAAAAUUCAAAAAAAAUCAAAAAAUAAAAAUUCGAAAGAUACUUUAAUUAUAGAUUUAAUUUUAGCUCAAUUAAUAUUAUUAUUGUUAUUUUAUAAAUAUGAAUUCAAACACACUAAAACGCGUUCGAAAAGGGUAUGAUAAUUUGGGUAUUAUGACACACCAUCCAACUAAUAGAUUCAUUUACUCCAAAAUUCACCUUAAAAUUAAAGAGAAAGAACGAAGGAAAAGUGAUAAAAGCUAUCACAAAAGGAUUACUCCUUUUGUCCUCUAAGACGGUGAUACACAACUUAAGUUAGAUUAGAUUUAGGAUGGGUUUGGAUUGAUGUUGGAGUACGGUACGUGUAGUUUAUUUUUUGUUUUGCGCUACAAUAUCGUUACAAUAUUUAAUUUCAUUAUCAUUGCUAUUUUUACACUAAUCGUAAGUAAACGCACCACCCAUCCAAAUCCAUUCUUAAUAUCUAAUCCAUAAAUUAAUUUUCAUUUUUCUUUAAUUUGAAAAUGCAAAUUGUUAGAAAGAAAUUUUUUAAAUCCAUAAAUAGAGUAAAAAUAUAGUGUGUCUCAAUUAUAUAUAUAUUAAUUUAAAAUAUAUCAUAAGUUUCUGUAUUAUUUGUAAAUUUAAAAUUUAGUCUCUGUAUUUUUAUUUUUAGGAAUUUAGUCUUUUUAAUUUUUAUAUAUUAAAAUUUAGGUCCAAUUGUUAAUACUAUUAAGUUUUUUUUUAAUUUUAAAAUGCAAUACCAACAAAUUUAAAACAAAAAAAAUGACAGUGUUAACAAUUGGAUCUAAAUUUUGAAAUAUAGAAAGUUGACAACGUUGGGUUUCGGAAAAUAUUUUCUAUUUUCAUUUUUUUAUUUUUUAAAUUGAAAAACACGUUUGAUAAAUAAAAUAAAAAUUUGUUUUUAAUAAUGGAAGCAUAAAAACAUGUUUAAUAACUAUUUUUCUGUAAUCGAAAUAAAAUAAAAAAAUUUACACUCUGUAUGGAUUCAAACCAAAGUACAAGAUCUAAUAUUAGAAAAACUAUUGAAAAAAAAUAUUUUUGAGUUUAUAAGGCUUUGAACCAUAGUCAAUUAAUUUGAUAUUAAAAUUUAUUAUUUUCAUCAUUUUCACUUUUACAAAGCAUUUUAUAAUAAAAAAAUAAAAAAAAUUUAAUUGUUUUUUAAUUUUCACAUAUUUUUCAUUUUCCUCAAAUCAUUUUUAAAAAUUUCAACAUUUUCUUCAAUAAAUUUCAUUUUCAAAGAAAACAAAAAUAAAUGAAACUAAACAAAAUUUUGAGACCAAUAAAAGUACAAAAACUAAAUUUUAAAUUUACGAGAAUUAUAAAAUUAUAUUUUUAUUUCUUAAAUAUACAAUAAUAAGCCUUUUUAAAUCUGAUUAUAAUGUAAAAAACUCCGGCCGUCAAUCUAUCAAAUAUUAAAUCAUAUUCUUUCUUCUUUUCUCUAUUAAAAAAGAAGGGAAAUUCAACAUUUCAAUGCACAAACAUGAUCAUCGGCAACAAUGGCAAACAAGAGUAGAAAAUAAUAAAACAACAACAAAUUUGAAAAUUGAAAAUUGAAACAAAAGGGCUAAUAACAAACUACAAAGUUUGUUUUGCUCACAAAUAGUACAAAAAGAACAGACAUUGAUAAUUUUUUUUUUUUGUAUCAGACCAAUGUACAUGAAAACGAAGGCAAAAAUUUUAAAAAAAAAUAAAAUUUGGGGUACAUACACACCCCUAAAUAUGUCCAAAAGCUGCUGCUGUGAGUCUCUGCAUAUCCUUACCACAUAUGUCUGGAUUUUGUAAAGGUUCAUGUUGUAGUGGUAGCUGCUGUUGUUGGGUCUGAGGCCACCACAUAUCGUUUGAUGAUGAUGAUGAACUAUUCGUUAAGUAACAAGGCUCUGAUUUGAUCUCGAUAUUGUAAUAAGAUUGUGGGGUUUGAUUUUGUAAAGCAGCCGCCAUUAAUAAAGGGUUAUUAAGAAACUCAGUCCAUUUGGUUUCUUCUUCUUCUUCUUCUUCUUCUUCUUCAGUUUGUGUUUGAACCAAUCCCCAAGUUGAGUUAUUGGCUGAGCCACCGGUGGUGGUUCCAUAGUAUAAGGGUCCAUAAGAGGCGGUCAUGGGCGGUGGAAAUUCAGGGUUGAACCAGUUAGAGGAGAGCUGUGGUGGUGGUGGGGGCGGCGAUGUAUAUUGAUGAAUUGGAUGAUGACCCACCAAAGAUGGCUUGUUGCUUCCACUUCCUUCGCCAUUUUCGACCUCGGAGAGUGGCUUGUGAGUGACAGGGUCGAUGCCUUUCUGUUUAAGCUUCUUUUUCAAACAGGAGUUCCAUAGGUUCUUGAUUUCAUUGUCGGUUCUUCCUGGUAAUCGUGCAGCAAUUUGAGACCACCUAAUUGAAAACCGAGAAAAACCCAGAAUUCUCCAUAAAAAUCCCAAUAAUAAGAAGAAGAAACAUAUAUAUAUAUGUGUGUAUAUGUAUAUGUAUAUGUAUAUACCGAUUCCCCAAAACUGCAUGAAGUUCAAUUAUGAGAUUUUCUUCUUCUUGUGAAAAUGUGCCUCUCUUUAAAUCAGGCCUUAAAUAAUUAAUCCACCUCAACCUGCAACUCUUCCCACACCUCUGUAACCCUGCCAAAUCAUCCAUAUUUUUUUAUAAACAAUUCAUCAACACAUACAUGCAUACAUACAUAUAUGUAUAUGUAUAUGGUACCUACCAGCUUGUUUAGGGAUGGAGCUCCAGCAACCAUGGCCAUACUUUGUAAUAUGCCUUAAAAGCUUUUCAUCUUCUUCAGGGGACCAAAGACCUUUCCUAAGCUUUUGCUUGUAACAACAAGAUUGCCUUCCCAUUUUUGAGACCAGACCAAAGUUACAAUGAGUAUAAGAAAAAGAUACAGACAGAACAGAACACACACUUCACUGAUUCCUAGGUGGAAAAUUUGUCAGAUAUCAAACAACCAUGUUUUCUUUUUUGCAUAUUAGAAUGAAAGAUUGUGGAUUUUGGUUAAGGAGAAGCAAGAAAAAUGAAGAUGUUGCUUAGAAAAGGGCGUCGAAUUAAUAUAUAAGAGAGAGAAAAGGCGCAUUCAAAUAAGCCCCCCCCACCUCUUUUUAUUUAUUUAUUUAUUUAUUAUCAUUCUAUCAUAUGGGGUCGGAGAUGAGUUAAACCGAGUUGCAUGUGUCUCACCAAAAGAACUGCGAUUGAUGUCUUCUCCGGUGGGACAUUUUUUUUAUUAUAAAAAAUUCAUCCAUAAAUUAUUAAUUUUGUUUUAAUUUAAAAAGAUAAUAUCAAUAAUAAGUAAGAGUACAAUAUAAUAUAAAAUUAUCAACCAAUUUCAGACAUUAAGCUAGAAACCUCAGCCAUCAUAAUGUCAUGCACUGUUCAAUAAGGUUCUUCAAAAAUCCUCAAUACAACUCUUGUUAUAGUCAAACUCGUCAUACUAUUCACCACAUAAUUCUUUAUGCCUCAAGACAUGAUUCACACGAAAAUCCUUUAUCUGUUGCAAACAUUCCCUCACUCUAUUCCAUAGUUAACUUUGAUCCAGAGUUUGACCAUUUAAGAAAUUAACUGUUUUUAUACAAUUUAUCUCAAGGAUCUCGAAGUCUCAAUAGAUUAGCUUCGAACAUUUUUCGUCAGGAUGGAGGGAAAGGAGGCAUUGUAGUUUACUUUCGAAAAUAAAAAUUUUCAUACAAGGGGUUUAAUUUUUAAGAAAUUAUUAGUAUAACCCCUAAAUUUUUUUAUUCAUUUCUAAUCCAUAAAAACAAAUUUUGGCCCCUGAUUUCCCCCCUUUAUCAUUAUCUGAAAAUGGAAAUGCAUUGUUGACAAGGACAAUCACCAUAAAUGAGAAACAGAGCAAAGCUGCUAUCUUUUUCAUAUAUACAUAUAAAUACAUACAUGUACAUGUACAAUAUUGAAAGUGACUACGUAGUUUGUAUUUUAUGAAAUCAACCAACAUAUUUUUCAGUAACAUGAACUGCAACAACAGCUAUCAGGUUUAUCAGCAAGGAAAAUUAUAGCCCAACCCCACCAUUCUUUUUGGUACAAUAUGACUUUAUACAUCACCCUGAAAAGCUCAGACUUUAAUGGUGGAACGUGUCAUUAAGUUUAGCGGGACUAGUUAUAAUUUUCAAAAAACAUAAAUAUUUUAAAAAACUCAAAUGAAAUUUGCCAAAAAAUUGAGGGAGGGGGAUUAGUUAAAAUUUUUAAACACUUUGAGAGUAUUGAAGGGAGCUAAUUAAAAUUUUUUAAAAAAAUUGAAGAGCAUAAUGAAAAUUUUUCAAAUUUUAGGCAAAAUUCCAAAUCAUUAGCUGUCUUAAAAGGCAUGGCCCGCAUUGAAAUGUAAAAUCCGUUGGAAUCUUUAAUAUAAUUAUUAUUAACAAACCGAUCAUUGACGGCAGGGCAGGCAUUAAUUCACACGUUCUAUAGACAUUAAACAAAAAAAAAAGGUCAGAAUUGUAGUUUUAGUCCCUCUAUUAUGUUGAGGUUUACGGCUUAACCUCUACUUUAAUUUGGAGUAAUAGAUCCAAAUUGAUAACAUUCUUAAUUGCUACCGAUAAAAUGUUAACUUCUAAUUGAUAGCAAUUCUAAUAGUGUUAACAUAUUCAUAAAAUUUUAUUUCACCUCUUUAAUAAUAACAGAUCAAAUUAUAUUAUAUUAAAGGUUCAAAUAUUCAUAAAUUUUUGUAUUUUUCCAAAAGUUGAAAUUUAGUCCUUAUAAUUUUAUUUUUAAGAAUUUAACCUCUCUAUUUUUUAAAUUUUAAAAUGCAGGUUCAAUGGUUAAUAAUAUUAAAAUUUUAAAAUCUAAAAAGUAAAGAGAUUAAGUGUGGGUUUAGAUAAAUAGAGCGGUGCGUUUAACUUAUUUUUUAUCUUAUAUUACAAUAUUUAAUUUCAUCGCCACUGCAGUUUUACAUUAACCGCAGAUAAACGUAUCAUUCAUCCAAACCCACCUUAAAUUCUAUAAAAUAAAAAUGCAUAAACUAAAUUCUAAAAAAUAUAAAAAAAGAAAAACUUAUGACAUAUUUUUAUCCUAACCCAAAUUAAAAUAAGAGGGUGAGAUGGGAUUUAGGGUUGGACGUCCAUUAAGUUUGAAGGGGGUCCCAUGCAGGAGACUGAAGCUUGGGAUCAAUGGUUGAUGCCGACAUGAAAAGGGUAUCAUCUGAUUGAUCAGACGGUUGAGAACAAGUUGAUGAAGUCAAUUGUUGUGCGUGCAAAAUCGUGGAGGGCCAAUUAUAUACGAACAUAUGCAUACAGAUAUCAGAUCUCUAUGCCAUCUUUAUGGGUUCCAGAAUGUCUCAAAUUAAAUAUAUAAAUUGUGAAUUUAAUCUUUGUUUUUUUUUUAAUUUCACAAAUUUUAGUUUAUAUAAUUUUAAAUAUUAAAAUUUUUGUUCUAUCCAAACGAUAAAAUUUAAAGUUAUUAGGUCAAAUAUUGCUAUUAGUUUCAUACUAUACAAAAGUUGUGGAUUCAAACAUUGUUCUCGAAUUUCAUCAUUUUUAGUAUUUAAAAAUUUUGUAUUAGGUAUUAAUUCAAAUGGUAGCCAUUAAAUUUACUAACUAAAAUAGUGAGACUUUUUUGUAAGUAUUAUAUGAAAAUAAUAAGCUAGCAUGAUACUACACUUGUGGUAAUAUAUUUGCCGCAUAAAAUUUUGAAAAUAGUAGAAUUUAAUUGCUACUACUUGGGUUGAGCUAGAAUUUUGAAAUUCAAAAAGUAUAUAGACAAAAAACGAUCAAAUUAAAAUACAAGGAUUAAAUUCACAACUAAUAACAUAAUUUGACCUAUUUUCAACCAUGUUCUUCACUGUUCUAUACAUAACAUAGUGCAAUUACAAAUAACUAUUACAAAACAUAACAUACGAAUAAUUGGAUAAAACCCAAUCAUGACAUAUGCAUAUAUUAGGACUAGAGACCUACAUAUCAUAAAUGCAUAUGAUAAGACUCAAAUUUAGGAACCAAUACAAAACACAAUGUAUGAAUAAUUGGAUAAAGUCCAACCAUGGCAAAUGCGCACAUGUUAGGAUUGAAGACUCACACAUCAUAGAUACAUAUGAUGAGACUCAAAUUUAGGAACCAAUACAAAACACAACGUAGGAUAAAAUUCAACUAUGGCAAAUGCACACAUUUUAGAAUUGAAGACCCACACAUAAUAAAUACAUAUGAUGGGACUCAAAUUUAGGAUUCAAUAUACAAAAUGAAUAAUUGGAUAAAACCCAUCUAUAACAAAUGCACAUAUUAAGACUAAAGACUCGCACAUCACAAAUACAUAUGAUAAGAUUCAAAUAUAGGAACUGGAUAAAACCCAACCAUGAUGAAUGUACAUAUUAGAAUUAGAUAUUCACAUAUCCUAAAUACAUAUGAUGAGACUCAAAAUCUAAAUAUAUCGGUCUUAGUUUGAUUAUUUGAAUCUAGAUCUUAACAUGAUUAGCAAGUUGCUUAAUUUCAACCUUGGGUAUUUUAUUUAAAUCCAUGGACUAAUGGAAAGUUUGAAUUUUUGAAAGAUUUGUAAACAAAGUUGAUGGAUUUUCUUUUGGAAAAAAGUUGAGAAAACGUAGAAUUUUCACAUCUUCUUUCACAAAGGCAAGAGCCUUUUCCUUUUCAUAAGUUUCUUUUUCAUCCUAUAUAUAAGAGAAAUUGACUUUGCUUUAUUACAUUUCAUAUUCAUUUGACUAAGGCAUUAAAAGUUGUAAGCCAAUGAAGAGAACACAGAGGAAGGCUCAUACUGAUAAUAAUAGGAGGCGUGCGGGACCCUUUGCCGGCAGAUUUGGACCGCUCAUUAGGACUCCUCCACCGACACAUUUUUCAUUAUUAUUAUUGACUAUUUCCUUUUUAUUUUCUUCAAUUUCUCUAACCAAUAAAAAUACAAAUGAAUUGAAAAAAGUGUUUUUAUUCAACUAUUAAUUUGAAAUCACAAACCUAUCAUUAUUAGUUUAUGAAAAGUGCAAUAGAAUAUGAUUUUGGAAUAAUAUAUGAUAUUUGUUACAUAUAUUUUAUCAAAGAGGUUGCUCCGAGACUCAAGGGUGAAGUUAGAAAACCUUUUUAAGGGGUCGAAAUUAAACUGUAAUUUUUAGUAUAGUAAAAAUAUAAUUUUAUCAUUUUAAUAGUUUAUAUCUUUAUAAUUUUUAAAGAAUUAAAUUAACUUUUUAUCAUUUAUAGGGAACAAAGUGUAAAUUUAUCUUUACUAAUUUAAAAUUUUAAAAAUUUUAAAGAGUCUAAAUAAAAAAUUUCUCAUUUUAGGGGGCAGGGCCUCUGCCAGCCCCUGUCGAGACCUUGAUUCCCUAAAAUGAAAAAGCAUACUUUUAACUUUUGAAGUUUUAUAAAAAUGUUGCUCCGAGACUUUGACUCCAUAAAAUGGAGAAUUAUACUUUUAACUUUUGAAGUUUGUAAAAGUUUAAGUAAAUAAAUAGUAAAAUUAUAGUUCCCUCAAAUAAUAAAAUUUUAACUCAAUAUUCUAAAAACUACAAAUAUAUAUGCCAAACUACAAAUAUAUAUGCCAAUAUAAUGAUAAAAUUAUAUUUUAACUCUUAUGAAAAUGUAUAACUUAAUUUUAAUCUCUUAGAAAAAAUUUCUAACUUCGGUCAUGUUGUCGACCUAAUGAGAAGAUUUGUGUUAUGCUGCUUGAGUUAGAGACAACUAAUCAAGAGAAAUACGUGGCUUAUGAAGGUCUUGCUUAAAUACCUCUUUGGAGUCAAUGGAGUCGGGACAAUGACCCAACGACCAACUUCCUCCCAUAUCCCAAUCUAGCUCCUCUCCUUCUCGCCUUCUCCCCACGACGUAUUGCAGCUCUGGCCCUAUCGGGUGAACCGCAUUUCUUGACUCCUUCAUCUUCUUACCAUUAUAUCAUCAGUACUUUUUAAAAAGGUUUAAUUGUAGCAAACGUCCUUAAACUAUGCUACAGCAAGUAAAACUAUUACUGAAAUAAUAUACGAGAACAUAUCUCAAUACGUAUACUAAUACAUUGAGAAUUCAAUUAAAAUGCUUUGAAUUUUAAGUACUAAUUUAAAUUAUAAGCAAUAGUUUAAGGGCAUUUAGUGAAAUUAAUACUUUUUUCAAAAUAAAUGAUAUCAUUGCGAUAAUCAAAGGUGAAAUUGUUUCUAAUUAUUCCACAAAUAAUAAACAUAAUUAUUUAAUAUAUUUGAAAUUAUUACAGAAAAAGACCAAAGCAUAUGUUAGGCAAUUGCUUUGUUUAUAUUAGAACAAUAUGAUGGAAAAAGAUUCCUUCUAUUUUAUCUAUAUAUUUAUUUAUUUAUUUCAAGUAGUAGAAAGACUAUUACUUAAUUUUAUUUAAAAAAUUACUUAAUUAGGUUUAGGUUUUGAAUUUUGUCUUUUUUUAUUUGAAUAAGCCCUUAUAUUUGUAUUACAUUCAAAUAAACUCUUAAAUUAGAAUUGAUAUCCGAAUUAGCUCUUAAUCUUUGACUUUAUCAAAAUAACCUACUUUUACACCAAUGGUUUAGCACCCAGAUAAUACGGGCUCAAACCCUAUUAUCCCCCUUCUCCCUCCUCUUAUAUCGUAAUGAUAAAAAAAGCUAUUUGAAACUAUUAAAAGCAUAAGGGUUUAUUUAAAUAAAGUGAAAAAGUUGAAGGACUUAUUUAGUAUUUUAACCCCAAAAUUGAAAAACACCAUCUUUUAGCAAAUUGUUUCAUGUAAAAGGCAAAUAUACAAACAACUUAAAGCUCUUUGAGCAUCUUAUAAUGAGGCUUCUUUGACCUUAGCAAUGUCCCAAUCUACCUAUCCAAACAAUAUCAAAAUUAUAAAUUAAUUAAAAAAUAUAUUUUUAAUUAAUUAUAUAAAUAAUUGAAUGCUUUAAAGACUUACAAGGCCGGUCGGCCUCUAUGUUUUGUUUUUGUUUUUUUUUUUUUAAUGUUUAGGUUGGUUUUUUAUUAAUUUAAAUUUGGUUCUUAUAGUUACAUCCUUUUCCACACAAAGGGAAAUUUGUUUUCCUAUGAUUUGGGUUUAUGAAAAGAAAUAUAUAAUUAUUUUGUAAAGUUGCUUCAUGGUGCAUGCUUUAAUUGGACACCAUUAUUAAUCAUAAUUGCUUUUGAAAUUUUAGGUAGCUUUGGUCCUUCUUUGGAAGAUAUGGAAAUAUAAUAUAUAUAUAUAUAUAUAUAUAUUGUUUUUAAUAUUCAAAAUUAUCAUAUUUGUCUCUUGUAUGUUAAAAUUUUUAUUCCAAAUGUUUAACAUACAAAAAAAUAUACUUCUCAUAUUGAUUGGAAAUUUACAAAAGAUAAUGUAUCUGAAUUACUAUAAGCAGAAUUAGAAAGUACAAAUCGGAUAUAACCUAAACCAAUGGCAGAAUGUGCCAUUGAGUUUUUGAGGGGCUACUUAAAAUUUUUAAAAUUUUCAGGAAUUUAAUUAAAUUUUUUAAAAAUUUUGAGAGGAUUAAGGAGAAUUGUCAAAAUUUUUGAAAGGUCUAAUUAAAAAGUGUAGAACUUUUGGAAGGUUUAUUUAAAAUUUCUAAAAUUUUUAAGGGGGAAUUUAAAGGGCAUAUUGAAAAAUUUUCUAUUUUUUAAAGGGCAAGACCACCUCUAGCUCCAACUACAUUCCACCCCUGACCUAAAUCAAAAUAACUCUGAAUAGGAUCUACACUAACAUGAUAAAUAAACUUCUACAUUGUGAUCAAUCCCUUUCGAGACUUGACUUCUUUAUCACGAGACAUUUUAAAUUUUGAUAAUUUAAGUUUGGAUUCAAAUCCUAACUCUGUGCUUAACCUUGCACGACCUUAGGUCACUAUAUGUGGGUUCAAUUAAUAAACGAUUAAAUGCGCAACAUUAAUAUAAAAUGUAAAAUAUGUGAUUAUGCCACAUUUUUAUUUAAAGUUGAAAUUAUGAAUUAAGAUAGACUGAGUUGUUCCGGCAACGAAAUAUAACAUCUAGCAUUAAAAUCCAGUGAUCAGACCAGGUGUGUGGUGCCAUAUUUGGUUGCUUUUAUCAUAUAGUAGAGGGACCUAAAUCAUAAUUUGACCAUAAAUUUUCAAAUACAUUUUUCAAUUAAUUAUCAUCCAAUAGUGCCCAUGAAAAAAGUAUAAAGCAAAGCCAAGAGAGGUCAUAAAUUAGAAAGAAAGAAGGAUUAGGAGAUGGCCUACAAGGAGUAGAAAUAUUGAAAGGAGAGAUUGAGAUCAAAGCAAGGGUGUCACCAUAAUAUUUUUCUAUUUGUCUAGGUACAUUGCUUGCACUUGCACGACUGUGUGCUAAUUGAGCCCCCCAAUCAACCCUAUUAUCAAAAUUUUAGAUACUUUCUUUAUAUUUUGUCAUCACUCAAGUGGCCGAGUUUGAACUGUAUUUCUUAUGAGAUAUUAUUCGCUGGACUGUUCACGUUUAUCUCCAUGAGGAAAAAGGGAAAAGAAGAACCAAUGGUAAGUUAGAUAAGGUUUUUGGUGUUGAAUAUAUGUGAUAAUUGCCCAAUUAAACCCCACUUAUAGGGGCCAUCGCUUUUAAUUAUUCUCCCCCCAUUUUCUUUUUCUUUUUUGAUCCCUGUAGUUUUUGAAGAUUAUGGAUUUGAUCAUCACUGCCAAGGACUUGGAAAAUCUCCAAAAAGAAAAACAGAACCCUGAAAAUAGGGGUCGGAAGCAAUGGACCCAAAUCAACCUCGGGAAGUUCCUAACUUCGGGGAAAAUUUUUUCCAAGGAUAUGUCACAUUCUUCUUUUCAAGUUCUUAGGCUUCACCAAAUGAAAAUCAUCUAAAAUAUAUGGGGAUGCCAAAUUUGAUAAAAUAAUAAUUUAAUUUAUUUAAAUUCAAGUUAAUUUAAUUUUUUAAUUCUGUAUUUUUAAAAAAAUAGGUUAAAUGUAUGAUUGAUUUGUUGGUUCAUAAAUUUUUUGCCGUUUUACUUUCAUACAGUGAUAUUAUUUUUAGUCAAUAGAGCUAUACACGGAGGAAACUUGUUAUAUGUUUUUAGGGGUAUUAUUUAAUUACAUCUAUCUCAAUAAGUUGUUUACUGAAUCGUUGCAAUUGAUGUUUGAUCUUUAAGAGAGAGGAAAAAUGUUCAAAAAUUGAGUUUUUAUGAUCUGAUUAGUGGAAUAAAUAGUUCAACACUUCACCAACAAACCACAUGUCUAUUGAUAGAGUGAAUUUAUCUAUCCAUACCUUCUAUUAUAUUUAAACAUUUGAUUAAGUUCAUGUUAGUUAUUUAUCUUGUUCUAAUUCGAUUAGAAAAUUAUUAAAAAAUUAUAUUUUUUUACAAAAUAGUAAAUAUUAUUUUUUUUGAUGCUUUUGUAUUUUCUCAAUAACAAAAUAAAUACACAAAAUAAAUUAGCUGCAAGUUGAUUUUAUUUAAUUAGAUGAUUGCUUUUGAGCCCCAAAAGAAAAAAAAAUUCCAACCUUGACUUGUUUUAUAUAGAAAAUUUACCUCUUUUUUUUUAUAAAACCAAAUAAAAUAUUUAAUAUAAAUUAUAAAAUUUAAAACUUUAAAUAAAGAUAAAAAGUAAGAAAAAUCUCAAAGUAAGAAUUUUAUUUAAAUUCAAAACAUCAAACUCGGUUCAAAAUAAUAUUUUUUUGAAAGUUUCACCAGUACUAAAACAAGUACAAAUAUAUGUUCGACUAACUACAAUGUAGAAACUAUCCAAUGCUAUGCGUAGUGGACAAAGAACCAGACAAAAGUCAGAUUAAUCCAGAAAUAAUAUAACCCACACAAGGUAAGAGGGAGACCCACACAUUACAAUUGUAGAUGAUGGCAUUCGAAUAAGGCUCAUGACCUUAACCUUUGCCAACAACGUGAGAGCUUCAUUGACAUUAAAAAUUAAGGGUAAACUACAAUAGUAGUCACCUUACUAUGGUUUUUUUUUUUUUUUGUCAUUCAACUAUAAAAAGUUACAAAAUGGGCACUCAACUAUUCAAUCUUAUUUUUUUGUCAUUCAACUAUAAAAAGUUACAAAAUGGGCACUCAACUAUUCAAUCUUGUUUUUUUGUCACCCAACUAUCUUGGAUUUUUUUUAUGUUUUCAUUUUUACUUUAGCUAGCCGGUGAUAAAAAAAAAUCAUAGUUAAGUAAUUAGUUUAUAAUUUUUCAUAGUUAGGUGAUAAAAAAAGAAAAAAAUUAUAAUUAAAUAACCAUUUUAUAACUUUUUAUAGUUGAUUGAUUAAAAAAUCAUAAUUUAAUGAAUACUUCAUAUAAUUUACCCAAAAAUGAUAAGCGAAGAGACUAUGUAGAGAUUAAAUUCAAAAUUAAUAUAAUUAGGAACUUAUGGCCUAGGGGCCUAAAAUUAAUCUAGUGGGACUCAAUACAUUUGUGGGCCACAUAUGUCAUGAUCAGGCCGUCCAUCCUUCGGACCUCAUCACUUUGAUUCGUUUUUCAUCACAUCUAUCAGAUGGCGUUGACGUGAUGUGUCAUGUAUUGGUACAUAAUUAUAAUGAUUGAUUAUCAUCACCAUGCAAUCCAUUUAUGUGAAAGAUUAAAAACCACAACAAUUUCAAAAUAUUAAAAACUUUCCAUGUCUCAACAUAAUUUAAAAUAAUCUUUUUGGAUUCAUUAAAAAAAAAAACAUAAUCUUUUUAUUUCUUUCUUGGAUUUACAAUUUUAUUUUUUAUUUUUUAUUUUGAGGUAUUUUAAAUAUAUUAAUACGGUUUCUACGUUUUGCCUAAAUUGAUUAAUUGUUUUUAUUAAAUUAUAGAGUAGAAAUUUGAAUGUUAAAAACAUACUCUAAGUGCUUAUAUGCUUUAUACAUUUGAAAUUUAGUAUCUUAAUUUUAUUUAAAAAUUUAAUCUCCUAUUUUUUGAAUUUUAAAUUUCAGGUGCAGUAGUCACCAUCGUUAAUUUUUUUUAACUAAAGUAAAUUCACUGAUAUAACAUUUUAAAAUAAAAUAAUAUUCACUUGACAGCAAUGUAACAAUAAAAAUAAUGUUGAAUCAAAUUAAAUAUUAAGUUUUAGCAGUAUAACAUUAUACAGUAGUAAUGUAACCAGUUAUUCUAGAUAGGUUCCAAAUCAAUUGGUUAGCUUUAUAGUGUGAAGCCUAAAUUAUAGUAAAAUAAAUUGUUACAAGUGACUUGAAAGAGAGCACUUUUUUUUUCUUAUUUUAAUAUCUCACAUGGGUUAGUCGGUGUGUUAUAAAAGGCUAAAAAUAAAUUUUAUUUUAAAAACAAUUAUUUUAAUUUUUAGAGUUUGGACUAAAUUGAUAGAUUUUGUAAAUGUUGAGUGCCAAAAUUGUUGAAUUUUUUAGAAUUAGAACUAAAAUAGAAAAUUUAGUAAACAUGGAGGGCUAAAUUUGUUGAAUUUUUUUUAUAUUUAGGAUCAAAUUGAUGAAAUGUGUAAACAUUAAAGGGCUAAUUUGUUAUUAGACUAAUAAUAAUAAUAAAAAAGUCCACAUCAUCUCAGAGUGACUAAAAUAUUUAAUUUCAAAAAUUUUAGUGACUAGAUCAAAAAAAUUAAUAGUUGGAUGACCAAAACAGAACCAAAAGCAUAGUUGGGUGAACAUUUCUAUAAUUUACCUAUAAAAUUUUUUAAGCAUGGAUUUAAUGUUCCAUAUCAUUAUUUAAGAGAUAAAAUUUAACGGAGGGUUAAUUUACACAUUUUGAAAUGUAUAACGAUUAUUUUACUUAUUUUUCAGUAGACGGACUGAAAUACAAUUCAGAGCAUCCCUGAUACUUUUACCAAUAAUUACCUAAAUUGAAAUUUUAUAGCAUCUUUCAUUUUUUUUGGUUACAUAAUUAGGGGAGAAGUUAUAAAUUUUUUUGGAUCAAAAUUAAAUUACACAAUUUUUGAUUGAGUCAAAAUAUAAUGUUAUUAUAUUAACUUUAAUUUUCAAAACCUCUAAAAGAAUUAAACUAAAUAUAUUUUUUUCUUUUCUUAAAGAAAAUAAAAAAAAAAAUUUCAUUUUUGAUGGCAAGAUUUAUACCUCAUCUUUUAACAUUGGUCCAAUACAUAACAAAAAAAUAUAUUGCGCUGAAGUUGAUAUCUUUGCGUUAACAUAGUAAGUUUGUGUUAACUUAAUACUACUUGCGAAAUAAUUUAGUUGACGAAUACAAUUUUAGGGAUCAACUAAAUAUAAAUAGAUAAAUUUAAGGACCAAAAACUAUAUUAACCCCUAAAAACAAGUUUAAAUAUUACAUCACAUGUACAAAGAAAUGUCGGCAAACCCUUCUUUUGCCGCUACUCAUUUCUAAGUUGACGUAUAUAUUAUGAUUUAUUGUAAUAAUAAAAAGAAUAAUCAUGAUUUACUUAUACUUUAAUAAUAAUAAUAAAAGCUCCAUUAGCACUUUUGGCAUUAAUCAAAAAUAAAUCUUGCCUCCUAAUUUGAGAACAAUUUCUUUAAUAAGUUAACAUUGAUGUAGGUGUAUAAUUUUAUAGUAAAUUAAAUAAUAAUGCAUAAUUAAAAAUAAAAAUUAUGUAUUGAUUGAAUCUUAGCUUAAUUGGUAUGAGUAGUAUUGUUAAUGUAAAAGGACGAACAUGAAUUCGAAUGCACUGAAACAUAUUAUCCUCCUAUUUAUGAGGUUAACGAGGGACUAUGGGUAAUUCAAAAAAUAAAAUUAUUACAUUAUAAUAAUGCAAAGUUUCAACUUGGAGGGCCCAAAAUUUUAAUUGUGGUAAAUGUGUGCAUUGACAAAUCUUGGUUACUAUUUUGAAAUUUUCAAUGGAGUUCUAGAAAUUGAAUUUUAUAUUAUUGUUAAACUGAAUUAAAAGUGUUGAGAAUCAAAUAAGUAAAUAUGUGAGUUAAUGAUAACUCUUUAUUUUGCUUAGUUGAAAAUGAUGACUUUCUUUGAUCUAAUUAACCACUUAAUCAUUCAACACAAAAAAUUUAAGAAGUUUAAACAAA
Molecule: long non-coding RNA, 53987 nt
Filed under: Gossypium barbadense (sea-island cotton)
Lineage: Eukaryota; Viridiplantae; Streptophyta; Magnoliopsida; Malvales; Malvaceae
Description: long non-coding RNA (GBAR_LNC011669)
Source: RNAcentral